Molecule: long non-coding RNA, 57002 nt
Filed under: Gossypium barbadense (sea-island cotton)
Lineage: Eukaryota; Viridiplantae; Streptophyta; Magnoliopsida; Malvales; Malvaceae
Description: long non-coding RNA (GBAR_LNC013848)
Source: RNAcentral
CUCCAAGUUGGACCUCCUUGGUAACAGAGGAGACAUUUGCGUUAAGGCAAUUCGCCUUACAUCCCUUAGUGAGCCUCCUGCAGAAGUUAUUGUUGCCCAAAUUGCGAAGUGCUAUUGUCUGGUCGUUAACUUUGAAGAGUCGAAACAAGGUAUCCUUGUUGUUGCUGCUAGUGUCAACAGAAUCCGCCAAAAUCGAAUUCGGACUGCGCCGCCAAAACUUGUUGGAACAAGCGGGUUUGAUACGUAGUUUCCGUCAUUAUCCAUGAAAACCUCCAUGGUCACGGUCGGAUCACCAAUAUCACCAGAUGCAAACUGCAAAUACGGGUGACCAUCGAUUUAACGAAGACAAAGAUAUUUUCCGUUGUUUCCUUUGAAUGCCACAUGCCUUGGCAAAAACACCAGCGUCUCCCAAUCAAUGAUUCUUUCUUAAAGAUCUUCUGCAGAUUAACGUAGCAGCAAUUAGACAUUAAAGUGACAACUGACAACCAUAUUGGUCCAUGAAUUGUUGCAUGUGAUGAAUAUAUGGAAUAGUGAUGCAGAUCUCAAGAUCUGAAAAAUCGAAAAAAAAUAUAAAAGAAUUGAAGCAAAAUCACCUAAAAAGAUAGCCCGUUGAAUAAAUGAUAAUGCACUUAAUCGAAAUAUUUUUAUUAUUUAUUUUUAAUUAAUUUUAAACAUGAAAUUUAUCUAAUUUGGCACUUAAUCAAUUUAUGUAGGUAUAAUUAUUAUCCAAUGUGUUGAGAAAUGAAUAAAUAUAUAGAUUGCAUGAAAGAUUUGAUAUGAAAACUCAAAAGUUAACACACAAGACAAAUUUGAAUAUUUUGUUAAUUUUAAUUAUUAUUAUAAUCAGGGAUGAAGGUAGAAAAUUUUUUUGGGGUCAAAAUUAAAUUUUAAUUUUUAUAAUUUUAUAAUUUUUAAAAGAUUAAAUUAAAUUUUUAUCAUUUUUAGGGUACCACAUUGGAUGGGUUGGAUAACGGAGAAGCGUGUCAAUUAUGGAGCCCCAGUAAAUUUAGCAACAUCUUCUCCUGCCUUGCUUUAUUACCAUCCCUAGGCUUGAAUAUCCAAGUUCAAGACCCAUCAUGUGCAUAUGCUUAUGUGUGGGUUUUGUCCAAUUCUUCUUCGUCGAUUGUGUUGUGUAUUGGUUUGAUUUUACAUUGUAAUUGAUCAAACAUAUGUAUGUAAUUAUAUCAUACCUAUAACUGUAUCAUAUUUAUGAUAGUGAAACUUUGAAAAGAAUUUUUUUAGGGAGGGAUCCGCCAUAUUACAUGUUUAGUUAUCUCAUUAAAUUCCUUUGAAGUCUAAAUAAAUAAAAUUUUAAAAAUUAAUUUUUUUGACAUAUAACAUUAUAUCAUUCCCUGUUAAUAUAUAAAAUUAUAGAACGAUGGGCAAUAAAUACGAGACUAUAAUAAUGAAAAACUAGGAAACACCACACAUUAAUUUAUUUAUUUAUUCAUUCAUUCUCAUAUUAAAGUACAUGAGAUUAUUAAUACAUAAUAUUCAAACAAACAUAAUAUUGCAUGAAAGAAACACACAUUUAUUUAAUUUAACUUAAUAGAUGCACAUAAAAAGACACAGUCUGAUUAUGUUAUGCCCUAAGGGCACAUGAUUUUCUCAAAUUCGAUGUUGUAGUAAUUAGAAACAGUGUAAAUGUUACCUUCCAUUUCAGUUGUGAAAGUGUUGCCAUUAUUAAGUGUGUUACUUUGCUUGAACGUGAAUGGAACAUCACACUUACCUUUUGUUGCAAUCAAACUCACAACCACCUUAGUCUUCGGAGGCACCACAACCUUCUGUAUAACUUUUUUUUCUAGAGGUCGUUAUGAAUGUCUCAUUGAGCUCGUUAUGGAGUUGUUCAUGAUCGGAUAAUUCGAUCUUCCCGCCCUCACUAAUGAUCGGGAAGCUGUUAACGUCGAAGGUGGCUUUGGUUUCCAACUUGAGUGGAGAAUUCGUGCUCCAUAUAUUAGACUUUAUGAUGCGGUCGUUGAAAGCACCAAAAAUAUCAUAUCCCUAAUAAGUAAUGAAUAAGAAUAGUAAAAGGGAAGUAGGGUCAAAUCCUCAAGGACUAGAUUUGCACAAUAUCUUAUUCCGUAAAAUCCCAGGCAGAAUCUUCCACAAGAAAAACUGCGUUCCUGAAAAAAAUAAAAAAUAAAAAAAUUAAAGGUUUGGAUCUGGAAACGAAAAAUAAAAUAAAAACAGAAUUAAGAAUAUUGAAUAAAAAAUUUGAGAAAUUAAAAAUAAGAGUUGAGAGAAAUGAAAUUCUUAUGGAGAUUCCAACCUCCAAUUGUCUCAUUCCACCUUGGGUUCAAUUCUCAGCUUUUAGAUGAUCCUUCCCAAACCAAAUAAGCCAGUUAUAGUGGAAGAGGACGCCUACGACCACCAACUCCAAAGAUUUAGACUUACGAUUUAGUGGAACCUGACUCUAGCCAACAAUCGCUUUUGUGGGAUCGUCUUAUGCUAGAUCAACGCUUCUCAAUGGCGAAUCUCACACCAUUUUGUCUCUUGGACUCGCCAACCUCUGACGCAGUAAGCUAACGAACUGACUGUGCAACGUUCCCAAAACAUACAAAGCAGUCGCCUUUGCAUACGUUGAAAAGCUUACUUCUUAAAGGACAUGGAUGGAAGCGUCAACCCCGAAGUGCGGAGAAAGGAUGAAUACUCAGUGAGGAGGCUAAGUACGGAUUCUAAGCCUGAAGAACCCUUUUUGGGGAAUAUUGACAACCUUCGGCUAGAUGGAUUUAGUGGCUCAUGAUUGUGGUUGAAAAAAAAUAAAUAUAAUAAAAAUAGAAAUUUUAUUGAAAGGAAAUAUAAGAAAAAAACCUAGACUUUUGGGAAGAGAGUGUUUACAGAAAAAGAUGGAUCUCUUUUGAGUCACUUCACUUCACCCCCUAUUUAUAGCACUAGGGGAGAUAGUCUAAUCCUACUUAAAUUCCCAAAAGAUAAAUACAUUUAAUUGAAGAUAAAUAAAGAUAGAUAAAAUAAAAUCUAAAAAAUAAUCCUUAAUAAUUAUCUCAAUAUUAAUUAUCCUAAUAUAAUUAAAAUAGAGUUUAAUAGAAUAAAAUCUCUUCUUUUUGCAUUUCAACCCUUGUGUCCUCCAUGCUUGCACUUUUGGCACCAACUUUUCCUUGUGUCGCACAUUGGCCCAUUUUAUCUCUAAAUUCACGCUUUUGGCCCUUAAUUUUACUUUUGCCUCAAAUUUAGUCCCUAUGAGAUAAAAGAUCAUAAAUAGCUCAAAUUAGCAGGAUCAUACUCAGAAUAAAUAUAUAAUUAAUACAUAAAAAUACGUUAUUCUAGAGUGUUAUCAAAUUCUCCCUACUUAGCCCAUGCUUGCCCUCAAGUAUGAUUCCUAUCUACUGUGAAAGUUAGAUUCUGCCAUAAAAGAAAUAUCACUCCUUCUAUAAAAAUCAGUUAAAAAUGCAUAUGAAAAAUAAAGAGAACCCGAAGCUUGCUUUAAGUAAAACAGAAAAAGUUUUCCAAUUAAUACACACAAAAAUUAGAAUCGACUUGAAUUAUUUAAUGAAAAUUAGGUAAAUUACCAAACCUACUAAGACACCAUAUUUGAUUCCUCCUUUAGUCCCCAAAAUAUUUUCUUUUUCUUUUUUUUUCUUUUUUUUAUUUUUAUUUUGAUUUAUUUAUUAUUUAUAUUUUUAUGCUUUAGGAAUAUACUGAACCUUUUGACGCGAUUCGUACAAGCAAGGACAAUAAAAAAAACCAGAUCAAUUGUUUUAAUAGUCUAAUGACUUGAAUGAAAAGUUUUAAAUAAUUCAAUGAAAUUAAGUGACCAAUUUAAUGACCUUAUAUGUAAUUUACCCUAUAUAUAAUUAUUUUUAUAUACACUUUUUAAAAAAAUUUGAUAAAAUCACAAGUUGCUAGCAAAUAAGAGAAGAAAGAUAAAAUAAAAAUAAAUCCAAACCCCUAUUAUAUUAAAAUCUUUUGACUCAAAACCAAAUUUGCAUUUCACAAAAAUAUGAUAAUUUAGUACUACAAAAUCACAAUUAGACAUUUCUUUGAAGUCUUUAGUAACUGUAAUAAUUGGUUGCGGGCUUUACUUUCAUGUGUCGCAUUCAUGGCAUCCAACCUUAUUAUGAGCUUUUCUAGAACCAUUGCUGUUGUUCCAAUAGGGUCGGAAGCGUGUAAAUUAUUGUACUAAAAAAUCACACAAAGUUCAAUUCCCAGGGAAGAGAGGUGGAUCACAAGGAUCUCUUAAAUACCAAGUCUUUCCUUAGACAGAAUAUCCCUUCUAUAGUAAUUUAAUAGCACAAUUAAAUACUACUAUUAUACCCUCAAAUAUUGAAAGAAAAAUAGGACAAGAAAGAACACAAGAGUUUUAACGAGGUUCGGUAAAUUAUACCUACGUCCUCGGGCACUAACACCAGAUGAUAACUUUACUAUCUUCAAAGUAUUACAAACAAAUAGAAUUCCUUAAGAAUUCUCAAAUGGGAGAAGAGAGAAAACUAAGAGAGAAAGAUUGGUUGGGAUGAAUUGAAAUGAGAAAUGAGAAGGCCUAUUUAUAGUUGAGGUUUAAGGACCAAACAAUAAAUAGCCCAUUAUCUCAAGGACCAAAAAAAAUUAUCCCAUGCCACUUUUUCAAAGUCAAAUUUAGGGUGCUAAACUUGCACCACUUUGUAUUGUUUGCCAUUAAUGUUGUCUCCCAUUAAUGUUAACAAUCUCCACCUUGAAGAUUUGAUUAGGAUAAUCACAUCUUCACACACUUCCUUCAACUCCCCAAAUUCGAUAAAGCUAUCUUUUGUAGUGCCUACAAAUGCACUCUCGGGCGCCAUACACCUGAAGGUGCUCAAAUUCUCAGGAUGUUAAUCAAGUUCAAACAAUGAUUAAACUUGAUUGUUGUUACCACCUUGGUCAUCAUAUCUGCGGGAUUAUCUGCUGUCGGAAUCUUCUGAAGUAGAAUUUUUCCUUUUUCAAAGACUUCCCGCACAAAGUGAUAUCUUACGUCGAUAUGCUUGGUUCUUGAAUGAUAGACUUGAUUUUUCGCUAAAUGAAUAGCGCUCUGACUGUCACAAUAUAAACUUAUGUGACUUUGAACAACUCCUAAGUCUUUCAACAAUCCAUUAAGCCAAAUAGCCUCCUUAACAGCUUCUGUAACUGCCAUAUAUUCUGCCUCUGUAGUAGACACAGCUACUGUAGACUGUAAGGUAGACUUCCAACUUAUUGGGGCUUUCGCAAGAGUAAACAGAUACCCCGUAGUUGAACGACGUUUAUCUAAAUCACCAGCAAAGUCGGAAUCAACAUAUCCAACUACAAACUGACCAAGUGCUUCAUCCUGUUCAAAAAUUAAACCAACAUCUACGGUUUUUCGAAGAUACCGUAGAAUCCAUUUCACAGCUUGCCAAUGUCCUUUUCCAGGAUCAUGCAUAUACCUGCUCACAACUCCAACAGCUUGUGAAAUGUCAGGCCUCGUACACACCAUCGCAUACAUCAAACUCCCAACUGCAUUAGCAUAUGGGACUUUCGCCAUAUAUUCUCUUUCAUCUUCAGUCUUCGGAGAUAAUUGAGCACUAAGUUUCAAAUGAGAAGCAAGUGGGGUACUUACAUGUUUUGUGUUUUCAUUUACACCAAAACAUUGUAAUACCUUUUUCAGAUAUUGCUUCUGAUUUAAACAGAGCUUGCCUCUCGGUCUAUCUCUACUUAUCUCCAUGCCGAGAAUCUUCUUGGCCUCACCUAGAUCUUUCAUCUCGAACUCUUGAUUCAACUGAGCCUUCAGCUUAUCUAUCUCAUUUUGGCUCUUCGAAGCGAUUAACAUAUCAUCAACAUACAAGAGUAGAUAAAUGAAAGAUCCGUCAUGCAGCUUCUGCAAAUAUACACAAUUGUCAUAUUUGCUUCUUGUGUACUUCUGCCUUCUCAUAAAGCUAUCAAAUCGCUUGUACCACUGCCUCGGGGAUUGCUUCAAUCCAUAUAGCGAUUUGUUAAGCUUACAAACCCAAUUUCUACCACCAGCAUCUGUGUAUCCUUCUGGCUGAGUCAUAUAGAUCUCCUCUUCUAACUCACCAUGCAAGAAAGCCGUCUUAACAUCAAGUUGAGCUAGCUCCAAAUUCAACUGUGCUACCAAGGCCAACAAAAUUCUAAUGGAGGAAUGCUUCACAACAGGGGAAAAUACAUCAUUGUAGUCAAUUCCCUCCUUCUGAGCGUAGCCUUUAGCUACCAAUCUUGCCUUGUAGCGAAUAUCCUUCUUGCUAGGAGAUCCAUCUUUCUUUGCGAAUACCCACUUGCAUCCGAUUGCCCUUUUACCUUUCGGUAAUUGCGCCAACUCCCAAGUAUUAUUCUUCCGGAGAGACUGCAUUUCUUCAUCCAUGGCGCUUUUCCAUUUAUCACUUUCUAAGCUUUGCAUUGCUUCUUGAUAAGUGAUAGGAAUAUCAUCAACAACGGGAAGGGCGUAGGCCACUAUAUCAGUAAAUCGAGCAGGUUUACGAAUUUCUCUCCGUGGCCUUGCAACUGCAACUGGUUCUGGUGUACUUAGUGGUUCUUGGGUCAGAACCUCUUCAACCUCUAAUUCCUCCAUUGUGGCUGGAGAAUUAGACUUAUUAACUGGGCAAAUCCCCAUCUGCUCAAACUCCACCUGUUUUGGAGUACACUCCACCUGCUGUGGAGUAUUGCUCGUCUGAAUAUCUUUAUCUGCUACCUUUUUCAAUGUGGUAGAUUCAUCAAAGGUAACAUCUCUGCUACAGAUCAUUUUCUUUGUGCUUAAGCACCAAAGACGAAAUCCCUUCACUCCAGAAGUGAUUCCCAUAAAGAGAGCUUUCUUUGCCCUCGGAUCUAACUUUGACUCCUUCACAUGGUAAUAUGCAGUGGUUCCAAACACAUGUAAGGAAUCAUAAUCUGUAGCCGGUUUUCCAGACCAUACCUCCAUAGGAGUUUUUCUUUCUAAUGCAGAUGAUGGCAAACGAUUAACAAGAUGGCCAGCGUAUGUCACAGCCUCAGCCCAAAAUUGCUUGCCCAACCCAGCAUUGGACAACAUACAUCGAACUUUCUCCAGCAAUGUUCGAUUCAUACGCUCUGCCAAUCCAUUCUGCUGUGGUGUAUCCCUAACUGUGAAGUGUCGAACAAUACCAUACUCUUGGCACACAUCGAAGAACGGAUCACUUUUAUAUUCCCCUCCAUUGUCCGUCCUAAGCCGCUUGAUUUUCUUGCCAGUCUGGUUUUCGAUCAUAGUUUUCCAUUUAAGAAAAACUCCAAGCACUUCAUCUUUAGUUUUCAUGGUAUACACCCAAACUCUUCUGGAAAAGUCAUCAACAAAAGUAACAAAGUAGUGUUUUCCUCCCAAUGAAGGUGUUUUGGAAGGCCCCCACACAUCUGAGUGAAUAUAUUCCAAAAUACCUUUUGUAUUAUGGAUAGCAGUGCCGAAUUUCACUCUCUUUUGCUUUCCCAGAACACAGUGCUCACAAAAUUUUAAUUUGCAAGCCUUUACACCUUUCAACAAUCCUUGCUUUGCCAGAAUUUGCAAGGAUUUUUCGCUGGCAUGUCCCAACUUCAUAUGCCACAACUGCAUUGAGUCCAAGUCUUUGUUACCGGAAGCUGCAGCGACUGCUCCAAUAACUGUACUACCUUGGUAGUAAUACAAGUUAUUUUUCCUGAUGCCCUUCAAUAUCACAAGUGCGCCAGAUGUCACUUUCAAAACCCCAUCUCUCAUAGUAACAACUGAACCAUUGGAUUCCAAGGCUCCCAAUGAGAUGAGAUUUUUCUUCAAACUGGGCACGUACCGAACAUCAGUCAGAACUCUGGUUGAUCCAUCUUUAUUCUUUAAUUGGAUUGAACCUAUCCCAACAGUUUUACAGGCAUUGUCAUUGCCCAUAUAAACAACUCCUCCAUUUAGUUCUACUAAAUCAGAGAACCACUCCCGGUUAGGGGACAUAUGAUAGGUACAACCCGAAUCCAAUAUCCACUCAUCUGAAUGGAACGACGAUGAUGAUGCAACCAGUGAUAGUUCAGAGUCACUAGUAUCAUGCUUAGCAACACAAGCAUCUACAGCAGCUUUUCCCUUAUUCUUCAGCUUUGGACAAUUUUUCUUCCAGUGGCCUUUCUCAUGACAAAAAGCACAUUCAUCUUUCCCGAGUCUGGACUUUGACUUUGAUCUCCCCUUUUGAGUUUUCUUCCGAGUGUAUGAACGACCUCGGACUAGUAAAGCUUCUGUAUCUCUGAUUGAGUUUUUCUGUUUGUCCUUCUUUCUCUGUUCAUAACUGUAUAAGGCCGCACAGACUUCGCUCAGAGAUAUAUCACUCCUGCCAUGAAGUAGAGUAGUUUCUAGGAACUCAAACUCCUCAGGAAGUGACCCCAACAGCAUCAAAGCCAAAUCUUCAUCUUUGAAUGUCUCAUCCAUAUUCAGCAAAUCAGUGACUAACUGAUUAAAUUUGGUGAUGUGAUCAUUCAUUGUGGUACUUGGGACGUAUGUGAAGCGAAACAGUCUUUUCUUCAAGUGGAGCUUAUUUUGACUGUUUUUCUUCAAAAAUUUUUCUUCAAGUGCCACCCACAACUUAUUUGCAGAAGUCUCCUUUGAAAAAGCAUACCUCUGCUCUCGAGAAAGGCAUGAUCGAAUUGUGCCACAUGCCAACCGAUUGAUCGCCUUCCAAUCUUUCUCCUGUACAUCAUCUGGUUUCUCUUCAUCAAUGGCAAUGUCUAGACCCUGCUGAAAAAGGGCAUCUAGAACCUCACUUUGCCACAUACCAAAAUGGCCCGUGCCAUCAAAGAUCUCCACGGCCAAUCUUGCAUUUGCAAUUGUCGGUCUUGUCCACAUGGACGAUGUUGAAGCUCCUACACCGACCGUUUUCUCCAUAAUCUUUCAAUAUACCUAAGGAAAUCUUUUCUGAUGUGGAAGAUCAGUUCAAACUGCAACCACAGAGCAUACUACGAUUAACCUUCGGCUCUUGAUACCACUUGUUGUUCCAAUAGGGUCGGAAGCGUGUAAAUUAUUGUACUAAAAAAUCACACAAAGUUCAAUUCCCAGGGAAGAGAGGUGGAUCACAAGGAUCUCUUAAAUACCAAGUCUUUCCUUAGACAGAAUAUCCCUUCUAUAGUAAUUUAAUAGCACAAUUAAAUACUACUAUUAUACCCUCAAAUAUUGAAAGAAAAAUAGGACAAGAAAGAACACAAGAGUUUUAACGAGGUUCGGUAAAUUAUACCUACGUCCUCGGGCACUAACACCAGAUGAUAACUUUACUAUCUUCAAAGUAUUACAAACAAAUAGAAUUCCUUAAGAAUUCUCAAAUGGGAGAAGAGAGAAAACUAAGAGAGAAAGAUUGGUUGGGAUGAAUUGAAAUGAGAAAUGAGAAGGCCUAUUUAUAGUUGAGGUUUAAGGACCAAACAAUAAAUAGCCCAUUAUCUCAAGGACCAAAAAAAAUUAUCCCAUGCCACUUUUUCAAAGUCAAAUUUAGGGUGCUAAACUUGCACCACUUUGUAUUGUUUGCCAUUAAUGUUGUCUCCCAUUAAUGUUAACAAUUGCAUUAUCCAAGAAAUAAUGAACUAUUUCAAUCAUAUGUGUGGCAUAGUCUGAAAUUUCAAUCUCCUUCAGGUGAAAAGACAAACAAGAAGGAACAUCUAUAUUCCAUCGAGUUCUCGCAACAUUCUAAACUCAUGAAAAAAGAAGAAAAGUUAUUCGGUUUGUACCAUGAAUUUAGGUGAUAUUGAGCAUGCUUUCGAUUUCUUAAGUUUAUCGUUAAAUCAAUUAGUUGCAACGAAUACACGUAUUUAGACAAAGACUUCAUACCUUAAAUUCAAAGGUAAGUGUCUUUAGAUUAGGCGCACAAUAUAGAAACUCCACAAGCCAAGCUUCUCUCCCAUAAAAUUUGAAUUUAGUAAGAUUAUGAAAUAUAGGAAGUCGAUUUGUUAGGGGAAUCUGCCCACACAGGAGGUAUUAUAUACUGUUAUAAUGUUAAAAGGAAAAAAAAACACAUGAAUACUAAGUUUACUAACCAUUUUAUAUAUCAAUCCAUAAACUUAGAGACCGUACAUUGCAAAUUCCUUGAAUAAGAUGAGUUACACUUGUUUCAUAAUUCCUUAAAUUUUGAUGACGAUGCCUCUGGUUUCAGUAUGUUUAUUUCAGCUCUUGCAUCUCAGUUUCAUAAUAUUUCCUUUUGUUGGACGAGACAGGAAGCAAGGCAGCUCAUAUAUUUAUGAGAGUAGUCUUAUCUUAUGCAACCCACUCUGAAUGGAAAAGUCAUCCUUCCAAUCAUUCCUUUAUUUUAAACCAUGAUUUUAUGUUUAAUUUAGACCAUGAACGUAGAAGAUGUUUGGACCGAGAGUACAAGGUUCGCCAGUUGGCUUAGAACUUAGUUUUUAUCCUCUCUUUUAUCAAUUGGUGUUAUUAAUUUGGCAUCAUGAAAUUGUUUCUCCGUAAAAAAAAAAUUAUUAUUUUUUAUAUUACAUAUAAUACUAACAUUGAAACACAAAUCUCAACCCAACUAGAAUCAAGCUUUGGCAUAAUAAAGCUACCAAAUUAUAUUUAUUCACUUAUUCUCAUAAUGACAGUACAUGACACAGUUAAUAAUGAGAUGACAGACAAAUAGUGCUUCGUCCAUGAAGGGAACACCAAUUUAUUUAGUUUAAUUUAUUAAGUACGCAACACACACAAAUCUUCAAGCUUCCAUGGAGCUGUGCGGUUUUUCUCAAUUCAAGAGGUGAGAGGUUCUUCUUUUGUAUCAUAUUGGAUGUUGUAGUAAUUAGCACCAGUGAAAGUGUUACCAGUGACAUCAGUUGUGACAACGGUCCCAUUAUAAAGAGUGUCUUUUUGAGUGAAUACGAAGGGAACAUCACACGUGCCAUGGGACAUCGAUAGAUACACCGUCACCUUAGUCAUCGGUGGCACAUGAGCUUGGUGGUUAGCUUCCAUCACGGUGGUCGUUGUUUUGGUCUCUCCCCACUCGAUUCCUGCUUCGAGUUUGGAAGAUAUUUCGACACCCGCUUUGCCGAUUAAUGGAACCCCUACUUCGAAGGUGGCUUUGGUUUCAAGGCCUAACGUAAAAUGAGCUAGCCAAGUACUGGUAUUGGUCUCUGUAUAAGAAAGUUUCACAUCGAGUGUGUUGGCUUGAGUGGUACGGUUAGUGGCAGAAUUCUCGGCGAGAACAAGGACUUUUUUGUUAUAGACUAGAGCAUUUUCUAUAUCGUAUCGGAGAUUAUAAAUCUUUCUUGACAACACAGGCUCUUGAACCAUUAGAAGGCCUCUCUGGUAAUAGAAGGGACGGCUGCAUUAAGGCAAUUUGUCUUUCCCUCGAUCGUGAGACGCUUGCAGAACUUAUUAUUGCCCAAGUUGAGCAGAGCUAUUGUCUUGUUGUCGACUUUGAAGGCACGAAACCGAGUGUCCUUAUCGGUACCUUUAGUGUCAUUAGAAUCCGCCCAAAUCCAAUUCGGGCUAUGCCUCCAGAACUUAUCAGAAGAAACCGGCUUGAUCCGGAUGUCUCCAUUCUUCAUAUAAAAAACCUCCAUUGGCACAGAUCCAGCACCGACAUCCGUACUCGAGAAUUCUAAAUAUGGGUGACCCUCGAAAUGGCUAAGACGCAGGAACAUAUCAUUGUUUCCUUUGAAAGCAACGUACCGAGGCAGAAUCACCAACGACUCCCAAUCAAUAACUUUGAAGAUAUCAUUGCCAUUAUCCGCAACAUUUUUGUUGUUUGCCAACACGCCACGACCGAGUUCCGAUGUAGCCAAUGGCCAUAAGCAUAAAUAGCAUCCAGAUUGAGCAUGAACAAAUCGAAAAUUUUUAUAUACAGAGUCUUUCAAGAUAGGCUCGAACAAUGUGCAUGACUCCUUGGAUCGGUCUUCUUCCGGCUUAUCGGCAGUUAUAGUAAUCCAAUACUCCUCAUCUGGUUUUCCGGUGAUGGAAGGAUUAUGAGUUCGCUCCAAGUAUUUGUUGUUGGUACAGCUCCUUAUGUGCACCAGCCCAUCUUUAGCAAACUCCACUUCGAAUUUUGCAUUUGCGCUCACGACCGUUGGUUCGGUGAACUCGGCAUACCCGUUGUACUUUCCGUUGUCGUGCUUGUAGCCAAGGUAUGUUUCUGCACCGGAGGAUUUGAGCACGAUGAACCUUGGCACUGACAUUUUCAAUAACAAAGUAACUCUCUCAAUCUUGUGCUUAUGCUUUGGUAUACAUUAAACCUCAAGGGCUAAGCUUUUUAUAGAAAAAACUUAUUGCUCUUUUAUUUUAGUAGUUCUUUUUUAGAUUUUUUUCUUACAACUUUGUGCCAAUUAACAUUACAGCCCACUUGUUCUUCUUGAUGUAACCUACAUUUCAAUAAUUUUGGUACACGUUACAAAUGGAGUAGGAGAUGACUAUUAAGGUUUAAACUAAUCUUUUAAGAUGUGAAUUUAACCACUACUCUUUUAUAUUUUAUAUGUAUAAACGUUGGAAUUUAUCAAUAUCCUACUGAAUAUAUUUAUGAUUCACCUACAUUUAAAUCAUUUUAGUAAUGGUUGAUUGAUUCUUAGUUUAAUUAGCAUGAGUAUUGGUGUCAAUGCAAGAAAACGUGAAUUUAAGAAAACGUGAAUUUAAGUGCGUUGAAGUAUAUUAUUAUUUUUAUUUAUGAGCUAAAAAUUAAAAUUCAAUUUUGAAAGGAAUAUAAAGACACAUGAAGCUUGUAUUUUUUUUUUUAAUAAUGAAUCGUCAUACGAAAUCUAAAGGAUUCACAUGAAACUGCUGAAAACCAAAACAAAGGUUGAUACGGAACAUUAAAAGGGAGCAUACUCAUAGCUCCGCCAUUCCCCUUUGUCACUGCUUACAAUAAUUGUUCAUUUGUUUGGAAUUCCAUUGCUAGAACUUGAAAAAAUGUUCAAAAUAAUAUUUGUUACGUUGUAGUAAAUAGAAGAGGAACGAGAUUUUUUUUAAUUGCGGGAGUUUAUCCUCUAAUAAAAAUGUCCAAACACAACAAAUUUAUUUAUUUUUCUUAAUAAUUUGAUAUGAUAAAUCUUAAAUUAUAAAAUUUUAUCAGAUUGUAACAUAAUCUAUCUCCAAGGAUCAAAUUGCUCAUCAUUUAUUAUAAUUUUAAUAUAUAAACAUAUACUUCUUUCUCAAAGCUAAGGUUUCUUCAUUGCUAUAUAGAUUUAUAUUAUCAAUUCUUUAUUUUCUUCCCAGUUUGAUUCCUUCAUCAAAUUUCUAUGAAAUAAUAGUUUUUUUUUUUAAAAAGUUUUGGUCAUUUAAUAAUCAACACAGUUCACUACAUAGAGAGUUCAAUCACACAAGUUCAUUCAGAUUUGAAUAAAAAGAGCCUAAAUCAACCUUUCAACACCUAAAAUCGAAGCUAGAAAAACUAGCAGCAAUAACAGCAAUAGGAUCUUCAUAAGACAAGCUCACGAGAGCCACAAAAACAUCAUUUCACAAAAACUAAACCCCAAUCAAGCCUUUAGCAACAAAGGCAACUUUUGAUCCGUAUGUAUGGUUUAAAUUAUGUUUUGAUUACCGAACAUUAAAUAGUUACGAUAUGAUCACUAAUUGUCACAUCCAAAAACCGAGUUAGUAGGAAUUGGGUUAGUGAACUAAGAGUGGUCAUGCCCUAUUUUAAAAUAAGGGUAGUAAUAGUUGUAACAAGUAGUUUAAUUUGUUUGAGCGGUUAAGUAUUCUAAAUGUAUGCUUGAGAUUGUGUUUGAUUCUCUUUAAGAAUUUAUUUAUUAAUUUGAUCCCAUAUCUGAUUUGGUAUGUAUAGAUUAUCUUUAAUUUUUGUAUUUUAUUUACAUGAAUGAACCUGUAAUUGGUUCAAUGGUUAAAACUUAACAUCCCUUCUGCUCACCAGUUUAAAUCAUGUCGUGUGCAGAAGUAGAAUUAUUUUUACUUCUGUCUUGCUGUGCCGUCCAUGCUGCAGAAUAUGAGUCAAACUCAAAUUCUUAGUAACUUGAUUAAGUUAAUAUCUAAUGGGAUAAUAUAGUUUUUUUUUUUUGGAGGAAGAUAUCUCCUAAUUUUUCUCCUAUUAUGUUGUCCACCUUCAAGCAAUCGGCUGCUUUCCCCUUGUCGAUCUUGCUCUCCAAUUUGGAAUUCAACGUCGAAUUUAUUUGCUAGCUAGACAUAUUGCUCUUCAAAAUCUGUCGAUUGGCUUUUAAAAUUACACCGCCAAAUUUCCUUUGUUGUCCACUAAAUCUUUGUACCGAUUAGCAUCCAAAUUAUAUUGCUCUUUUACUGCCAUAGUCUUCGUUAAUACCCCUUAAAUUGUGGGUCCAUUACAUCCAAUUUAUACUUGCACUGUUUGCAGCACCAUGUAUCUCCAAAAUAAUUGCUGCAAUUAUUGUUUACAUCCUUGCUAUAGCCUCCCUCAAUUUCACCGUAUAAUUGUUGCCUUGUUGCAUUGUUUACCAAAUGAGUAGCGGCUGUUUUUUUUUUUAAUUGUUAUUUGGUGGCCAUUCGAUUCAAUUUUUGGUGCAUCGAAUACUUCCAAUUUGUUGCCAUGAACCUUACUUUGCAUCGUUUCACUCCCAUUUUCACCCCUCAAUAAUUUGUUGUUCAUUCUUGCCAAAUCAUUGAUGUUUUCCGUCAGUUGCAGCUUCAAUCUUGCUGAAGGGCUUGAAAAGAGGGCAUCAAGUUCUUCAAUUGGUUGCUAUGAAGACGUGUUUCCCUAGGUUGUUGCCUCUUCUGGAUUCGAUUAUAGUUGGUGUGUUCUUAUUUGGUUAUUUAGGUGAAGUUCGUGUGGCAAAUGACCCUCGGGUAAAUUGAAUGCAUUGGAAGCCAUUUCAUUUUUGGAACGGAGAGUGUUGUUGUUUUGCCAACAUCCCAGGAACGAUCAGGUGUGUGUCUCUAACUCGAAAACUCGUAAAAUUGUGCAAAACCAAAAUCGCCACACAGCUGUGUGCAUGAUCAUGUGUAUGGUUGUGUGUCACAUGGACGUGUGUCUAGCAAUGUGUCUGGCCAUAUGGGUCACACGGGCAUGUGUUUGGGUGUGUGGGCCACACGGGCUAUUCAAGUAAGGGUGUGUGGGCCCAUUCCGAGCAAGUUUAGUUAGGGCAAUGUUUGGGGUCGAUAGUUCAAAAUUUAGCGAUAUUUUUGAAAUUGUUAAAUGAUGUUUUUGGUUAUAUAACAUAUUAUGAGUUUUAACAAAUAAAAUAUGUACAAUUAAUUAUUUAGCGUUAAUCAAUUAUGUUUAAUAUAUGUUUCGAAACGUGAUUAACUGACGAUUGAGAAGUACUAAAAUGCUCAUUGAUUCUGAAUCUAAGGUAAGUGCACUUAUUUGAAUUUUGUAUUUGUUGUAUGAUAAUGAAAUGUGUUAUGUUCUAACACUCAUGUUUUAUAAAAUCAUGACAUGAUUUUGUUUAUGUUAGUCUAAUCUCCUAAUAAGAGAAAAAUUUCUGAAAUUACUACAUUUGAUUGCAUGUUAAGCAUGCCUAUUGUUCUAAUUAUGUUUUUGUAUGUCAUACCACAUAACAUGGGGUUGGGACGAUAUUGAAAUGAUGAAGAUUUUGACAGUAUAUCUACAAUUUUGGUGGCUUGACUAUGUAUUUGUCUGUUCUGGCAGCUUUUCUACACUCUCUGGUGGCUUGACCAUAAUUUUUGUGUGUUAUCAAAUGGAUGAGUUCUAGGGAAUUCUUUUAUGGUGUGUGAAGGAGUUGGGUAGGAACAUUUUCUGAAAAUUUUGCAUUGAUUUCUGAAAACUUUGCAUUGAAAUAAUCAUGCAUUCUGAAUUUUUGAGAAAAUGAAUAUUAUAAAAUUCUCUAUGAUAUUUUGAUUUGUUUAUUACAUUAUUUGUAUUUAUGCUUGAGUUAUGACUCACAUUGAGCUUUUUGGCUCACUCUGUUUGUUUAAUAUUCAGGUAAUCACUAUAGGUUUUUAAUUAGAAAAUGAAUUAAUGAUUUAAAUUGCAAUUAACCUGAGGUCUAAAACAACAAUUAGACCAUUUAAAAAAUGCAAUAGUAGACAGUUGGAUUAGCCAUAUCAUUAACAUAAUUAAAUUAAGAUUUAAUUAACUUAAAACAUGUUUAAUUAAAACUAAUUAUAUGUAUAUACAUAUUGGAGUUAGUGGGGGGGAAAAUGAGAACAUCUACUUCUUCUUUCCCAAACACCGAAACUUAAGAAAGAAAAACCUAGGUUGGAUCUUGAAGCUUUCAACCAAGAAUUUGCAAGUGCAAUUUAGUCAUUUAUUAUAAUUUUUAUGUUUUUGAGAUCAUGGGAGCUUGAUUUAGCUAGCCUAUGUGCCAAUUUGUAAAACCGUUAAAGUUUUAGGAAGUUCCCAUUGUUGAUUUCUUGAAGUUUGGAAUGUUAAAUUGUUAAAUUUUAAGCUUAGAUAUGAAAAAGGACUACAUUAUAAAGCUUAAUUAAUAGUUUCGUACAUUAGGGACUAAAAUGAAUAAAUUUUAAAAUUGAGAGUAGGAAUAAGAAAUAAGAGGUCUCUAAUGGGUAAUAGUGAAAUUGAAAUUCAAUUUGGAGCCGUAAAUUGAAAGUUAGAUUAGUCUCGAUUUUAGGGACUAAAUUGAAUAAAUUGAAAAAAUUUAAUAAUUGAAUAAUUUAUUAUAAAUUGGUUGAAUAUUGGUAAUUUUAUAUUUUUAUGUUAAUUCCUAGCUAACAUCAACCCAGUUUCAUCGAGAGGGAAAGGAAAAUCCAAACCGUUGACGAGUAGCUCAAAAUUUCCAAUUUGUAAUUCUGUGAUUCAAGAACCUUUUAUUUUCUACAUAUUCAUAUCAUUCUUCAUUAUAUGGAAUUGGAGGUGAGUAUCGAUGAUUAUUUGAGCUUAAAUGAUGCAAUCUAGAUUAAAUAUCAAAGUAGGGACUAAAUUGAAUAGAAUAGAGAAUUUCAUGACUUGCUUGGUAUAUGCAAUUGGUAUGAAAUUGAGCUGGAACACGUUGAAUUACAUAUUAAAUUGAUUAUUGUUUUCUAAAAUUAGCAUGUUAAAGCAUAAAUUGAAUGGCAUAAUGAAUUGGAAUUUGGUUACCCUAUUAGCUAUUCAGACUAUGUCGGAUAUUGUUGGCAUGCCAUAAGGAUCGAGUAUUGAGUAAAGCCACCAUUUUAAGGCAAUCUGAGUGGUAAACAUUAUUUAUUGAGUCAUCAUUUUCGGGCAACCCGGGGUGACAAAUUAAUUGAGUUGAGAAAACCAUUAUUGUUGAGUAAUCAGGGGUGAUAUUAUAUUUUGAUAUAGCGUCGUUGUUGUCGGGCAACCUGAGGUGAUAGAUCUGUGUAUCAAUAUCGAGUCUGUGUCUAGUUAAUAUGGUUAAUAAUAAAAGAAUUGAUUAAAUGAUAAUGAAAUAAAAUGUUGUUGUAAUAUGAAUUUUGAUAUUAUUCGAUUGAUUUAAGAAUGCCCUGGGGGGCCGAAUAUGUAUGAAAGAGCUAUCAAGCUCGAAAAUAAUUUGAAGAGUUCAAGAGAAUAGGAACUUAUGAAUCAAAUGCUAAUAAAUUGAAUGUUAUAUGAGAAAAUAGUAUAAAGAAUCAUAAUGUUAAAAUGAAUAUGAGCUUAGACAUAUGAAAUGAAUAUAAAUUUUCAUGAGUUAGACUAUGAUAUGAAGGUAUGCAUUGCAUGAAUACUAUUGAGAAUUUUACUCAGCGUACGAUUUAUUUUUCCGUGUGCAAGUUAAAUUCAGUUCAAGAUUCUCAAGCAUCAACUUCAGCAUCCAAAUGGUUAAUAUCUUAGUUGAAAUGGUAUAAUGUUAGAUAUGCUAAUAAUCUUAUUGAUAUUGGUGUGAAUGUUUGAGUUAAAUUGAAUUGCAUUAGGGAUUUGUUUUAUUGGAAUGGAACAUUUGCAAAUUGAGAGUAAAGUCUAUACAUAUAUAAUUAUGUCUUGAAAUGAUGUUAAGGUAAUACAUACGAUAGUUGAAUGUCAUUUGGAUAUAUGGAUAGUUUUGGACCGGAAGUAUUUGAUGGUUAGAACGUGAUAUUAUGUGAUUAGAAAGUGUUAUGACUUAAUAUGGAACUCACUAGGAUUGUCCAUUUGGCUAAAAAUAAGGUAGAAGUUGGUUACGCAUUGGUGUAUUUAAAACUAUAGGUUUUGAGAAACUAUAAUUGCAAAAAUCGUAUGUGACGUCAUGACGUCAACCAUUUCUCGUCGUGACGAGGGUUGGACUCCAAGCUACAAUGUGACUAUGAACCCCGUCAUCCCGACGAGGCCAAGUUAGUAUGUCACAUUGCGACAAGAAACUAUCUCACGUCGUGACAUCAACUCUAUAAUUUGAAUUCUUUACAAUUCAGUACUGGUUUGAUCUCGGAUUAGCUUAUGACUUUUUGUAAGCUUGUAUAAUACCCGGACAUGUUUAUUUAUCAUGUUGUUUACUUAUAAUGUUCAUAUUGAAUGUUAAAAUGGAUUGAAAUUGUGUCUAUUUUUAUCGUAUUUGCUUUGGCAACGAAUGAGAUACACUAUAGUUCGAACUCGGUGAUCGGGUCAAGUAUAGAGUGUUACACCUACAUAACUUUUCCUCGUUAUGUAAAAAUGCGAUACUCUUAGUCACGUCAUGUUAUCACCUAAAAUUUUUUUUACAGAAAAAUAUAAUUUUUAAAUGAUUAUAUGAUAUAAUAUUAAAGUACUACAACAUCACAUAGGUCUAAACUGAAAAAAUUUACCAAAUUUCAAAACUAAUGUGAAGAAAGAAAUGAAUGAUUAAAUAAAAAAAAAGAUAAACUUUUAUCCAAAAACAAAAGCAAUAGCAAUUUCAACUUUGGAAUUUUUUUCUUCCCUAUAGGCCUAAGAAAUUAGGUGAUAGCGCCUGUUUUUUACUUCCACUUGGAUUAAUUAUUUGCCAAAUUAAUGAGGUAUGUGUUUUUUUUUGGUGAAAUGAAAAAUAUCAAUUACAUAUAGCAACCAUUCGUUUUAUCAACUUGUAAUAAAUCCAAAAUAUCCUUAGGAGCCUCAUCCAUAACUUGUAAACUUGAUUUCCAACUUAAACUGAGUUUAGCAAGACGAUCUGCUACCAAAUUGUGAUUUCUUGGAAUGUGCUUUAUUCUCCACUCCCCUUCUGAAUGCAAAAUACGAAGAGUUCUUCGGAUCACAGUGAUCCCUGAAUCUUCCAAAUCCAUAACAGACAAGAUCUGGGCAACUUCAAGAUUAUCUGUCAUAAUAGUGACUCGUUUAUAGCCCUUACUAAGUAAAAUGAGGAUCCCAUCAAGAAUAGCCCAAACUUCGGCUUCGAACGGAGAGCACACACCAAGGAACCGGUUAAAACCCACUAUCCAAUUUCCAUCACGAUCUCGAGCCACAAGAUGAAACAUUAUCAUUUUUUGUAAAACAUUAUUUUAAAAUUUUAAAAAUAAAUGUUUUAAUUUCACUUAUAAAAUUAAAAACAAAACACCUUUAAUAUCUAUAUUAUAUAUAAAGAUUUUAAUUAAAUUUAUGUCACUCAUAAUUGAUUCUCAAUUAAAUUAUUAAAUUAUCAAUAUAUUUUUAUUUUAAUAAAAUAUAAAUAGUAAUUGAAGGUUAUUUUUAUCCUCUGAACAUAAUAAAAUUUGAAAUCAACACAUCAAGUCAAUUCAGCCAAUAUAGUAGGUGUGUCAUGAGUCAUAUUUUAAUGUUAAAUAAUAAGUUAGUUUUUAAAGAAAAAAAAAAGACUAGGCUCGUGGCACGACUUCUAUUACGUUUCUCUUUUCUGCAAAAAGAUUCUCCCGCUUUCGAUAUUCUAUUUUAUAAAAAUAACGAUGGUAGGAUAUUAAAGCCAUUUUUUUAUUAAAAAGUUUAUUUUUAACCUUUUAUUUCAAGUCACAUUGGUUGUUUAGGCUUUAUUCUAUCAUUAUAAUUCACUAAAAAAAACUUUAUUACUAUCAGCUGCUUCACCAGCCACAAUCAUCUCCACCAAAAGACCUCCCUAUAUACACUUUUUAAGAACCAUGCACCAUAUUUCAAGCCCCUCAUCUCAAUCACUACAGCUCUCCACUCUAUAAGAGUGCACCAUAUUUCAAGCCCCUCAUCUCAAUCACUAACAACUCUCCACUCUAUAAGAGUGAACCGCUCCAAACCUCCACCAUCUUCUCUAUUUUGUUGAAAUUUUAUAUCAAUAAUUGAUGUGUUGAGCAUGAACUCACUCUUGAUAUUUAGAUCUAGUAAAUAAAAUGCGACUCUUCCAACAAUUGAUCAAAAUUACUUUGCGUUCACAUGAUAAAAUUUGAUCUAAAACAGGUUAGUCUCUUCUAUUCAACAUGUUAAAUAAACUUAAAUGAAAGUUAAGAGUCAUGUAAGUGAAAGGUCAAGAGUUGAAAGGUCUAGAGUUAUAUUGUUUUUUUAAUGGGUUUAAAUUAGUAGUUUUUUGUUUAGGAAAAUGAAAGGUCAAGAGUCAUUGGUUUAUGGUUAUUAUUAGAUUUUAAUAUUUUCAAUUUUUGUUGUUUUAAAUGGUAAACUAUAGCCUAUAAAUAGUUUGUAAGCUUUUGAUUUUAUAUGAGAGAACAAUUUUAUAUUGAGAACAUUUUCCACAAUUUGGUAUCUGAGCUAUGGAGAGUGUGACUAGUAAUGUGCCAUUGCCUCGACUAACAAAGGUGAACUAUGAGAAUUGGAGCAUCCAAAUGAAAGCUCUUCUCGGGUCUCAAGAUGGUUGGGAGGUGGUCCAAGAAGGUUUCGUAGAACCGACAACUACUGCGGGAUAUACGGCGGCUCAAAACAAGGCGUUGAAAGAAAUGCGGUCGAAAGAUAAGGCGGCAUUGUACAUGUUAUUUCGAGCCGUUGAUGAGUCGGGCUUUGAGAAGAUUGCAAGUGCGACAACUUCAAAAGAAGCGUGGGACAUUUUAGCAAAGGUGUACAAAGGAGCCGACCGAGUUAAACAAGUCCGACUUCAAACUCUUCGUGGCGAGCUGGAAGGCAUGAAGAUGAAGAAAUCAGAAGGUGUCUCCGACUACAUCACGCGUGUUCAAACCGUGGUGAACCAACUCAACCGAAACGGAGAAGCGUUAACUGAUGCACGAGUUGUGGAGAAGAUUUUGAGAUCGUUAACUGACAGUUUCAAAAAUGUCGUAUGUGCCAUAGAAGAGUCAAAAGAUCUAGCAACGCUUACAGUCAAUGAACUCGCCAGUUCUCUCGAGGCACAUGAACAACGUAAGAAGAAGAAGAAAGAGGAGACACUCGAGCAAGCACUUCAAACCAAGGCAUCAAUCAAAGACGAAAAGGUUCUCUAUUCUCAAAGCUUUCGAGGUAGAGGCCGUGGUCGUGGAGAUCGAGGAAAUGGUCGUGGUGGAAAAGGUCGUGGUCAAGAAGGGAAUUAUGAAGAGAAGGAGCAUUCAAACCAACAAAAUUGGCGGGGAAGAAGACGUGGUCGUGGAAGAGGCGGAUGGUCGAAUUAUUCCAAUGUCGAGUGCUACAAGUGUGGCAAAUAUGGUCACUAUGCGAAGGAUUGUAACUCUGAUAAGUGUUACAAUUGUGGUAAGGCGGGACACUUCGCGAAAGAAUGUCGCUUCUCGAAAAAGGUGGAAGAGACAACCAACCUAACCACGGAAAAUGAGGAGGCAAAAGAAGGUUUUCUCUUGAUGGCACACAACGAAGUCAACACCAACAACAACAUGGUGUGGUACCUUGACACGGGUGCAAGCAACCAUAUGUGUGGGCUCAAGCACCUAUUCAAAGAGAUGCAAAAGGUUGAAACGGGACAUGUGUCAUUUGGAGAUGCAUCGAAGGUUGAGGUAAAAGGCCAAGGUACCAUUUGUUAUUUACAAAAUGAUGGGUUAAUUGGGUCAAUCCAUGAUGUGUAUUACGUACCAGACCUCAAGAGCAACAUUUUGAGUAUGGGGCAACUCAUGGAAAAAGGUUAUUCGGUACUUAUGAAAGAUCGGGUGUUACACUUGAAAGAUAAGGAAGGGUGUUUGGUCGCUCGAGUUGAAAUGGAGAGAAAUCGCAUGUUCAGGUUGAAUCUGAGAAGUGUUCGAGGAAAAUGUUUGCGAGUUGAUGUUGAAGACAAGGCGUUACUAUGGCAUCUCCGUUUUGGCCAUCUACAUUAUGGUGGUCUAAACAAGUUGGCAAAGAAGAAUUUGGUGCAUGGGCUACCAGACAUGGACUAUGAGGGAAAAUUUUGUGAAGAAUGUGUGCUCGGUAAGCAUGCGAGAACUUCGUUUCAAAAUAAGGCAGAAUAUCAGGCUAAGCAACUUCUCGAAUUGAUUCAUACCGACAUAUGUGGACCAAUCACCCCUGAAUCUUUUAGCGGUAAAAGGUAUUUCAUUUCUUUUAUCGAUGAUUUCUCACGAAAAACUUGGGUUUAUUUUCUUAAAGAAAAAUCCGAGGCAUUGGAGGUGUUCAAAAAGUUCAAAGUGAUGGUGGAAAAAACAACUGGUAGACACAUCAAAUCUGUACGAUCUGAUAGAGGUGGUGAGUAUACUUCGACGUCUUUCAUGGAAUAUUGUGAGGAGCAAGGCAUAAGACGAUUCCUAACCGCACCGUACUCUCCCCAACAAAAUGGUGUGGCCGAGAGGAAGAAUCGGACUAUUCUCGACAUGGUUCGAUCAAUGCUCAAGAGCAAGAAGAUGCCGAAGGAAUUUUGGGCAGAAGCCGUGCAAUGUGCCAUCUAUGUGCAAAAUCGAUGUCCACAUGCGAAGUUGGAUGAUCAAACACCACAAGAAGCUUGGAGCGGACAAAAACCAUCAAUUUCUCAUCUUAAAGUAUUCGGUAGUGAGGCCUAUGCACAUGUGCCGGAUCAGCGAAGAACGAAGCUCGAAGACAAAAGUAAAAUGUUUAUUUUUAUUGGGUAUGAUGAGAAAACAAAAGGAUACAAGCUACUUGACCCGAUAAGUAAGAAGGUUGUGGUAAGUCGUGAUGUACGAUUCAAUGAAGCAAGCGAGUGGGAUUGGAAUAACUCAACGGAGGUUAUCACCAAAGAUGGAGGAUCAUCAAUCGCUACACCAACAAUCAUACCGACAAAUCCUGAAACUACCGAUGAUGAAGAUGAACCGCAACAACCAAAAAUGCGAAGUUUGCAAGAUUUGUAUGAUUCAACAAAUGAGGUACAUAUUGUAUGUCUUUUGGCAGAUUCUGAGAUUAUAAGUUUUGAAGAGGCUGCGCGGGACAAGAAGUGGCAAACUACUAUGGAUGAGGAGAUUAAAGCAAUUGACCGCAACAACACAUGGGAGUUAACAGAAUUGCCAAAAGGAAGUCAACCCAUUGGUGUGAAGUGGGUGUUCAAAAGAAAGAUGAAUGCUCAAGGCGAGUUAGAACGGUACAAGGCGCGACUUGUUGCAAAGGGAUAUAAGCAAAAGGAGGGGAUCGAUUAUGAUGAGGUAUUUGCUCCUGUUGUAAGAAUGGAGACAAUCCGGCUGCUCAUUGCACAAGCGGCACAAUUUAAAUGGCCAAUAUUUCAAAUGGAUGUCAAGUCGGCAUUCUUGAAUGGUGUGCUCGAAGAAGAAGUCUACAUCGAACAACCACCCGGGUACAUGAAAAAUGGAGAGGAGAAAAAGGUGCUGAAAUUAAAGAAGGUACUUUACGGGUUGAAGCAAGCACCGCGGGCAUGGAAUACUCGUAUCGAUACAUACUUCAAGGAGAAUGGGUUCAAACAAUGUCCUUAUGAACAUGCCCUCUACGUGAAGAAGAAUGGAGGUAAUAUGUUAUUUGUUGCUCUUUAUGUCGAUGACCUCAUUUUUAUGGGGAACAAUGGUAAGAUGAUACUGGAUUUUAAGAGCAAAAUGACACAAGAAUUCGAGAUGACAGAUUUGGGUUUAAUGAAAUUUUUCCUUGGUUUGGAGGUUCGACAAGAAAGGACAGGUAUUUUUGUGUCAUAGGAGGCAUAUGCAAAGGAAAUUUUGAAGAAGUACAAGAUGACACAUUGCAACUCGGUAUCAACACCAAUGGAACCAGGUGUAAAACUCUCGAAAUUCGAUGGAGGAGAACGAGUCGACGCAAGUAAAUACCGAAGUUUGGUGGGAAGCCUUCGCUAUCUCACUUGCACAAGGCCUGACAUUUCGCUAAGUGUUGGCAUUGUAAGUCGGUUCAUGGAGGAGCCGGUUUAUUCACAUUGGAAGGCGUUGAAGCGAAUCCUACGGUACAUUCAAGGAACGGUGUCAGACGAGUUAUUUUAUUCAAAUAUGGAAGAUUACAAGUUGAUUGGGUAUUUCGACAGUGAUUGGUGCGGAGACUUAGAUGAUCGGAAAAGUACAUCGGGAUAUGUGUUCUUUAUGGGUAACACAGCAUUUGCUUGGCUUUCAAAGAAGCAACCAAUCGUGACACUAUCGACAUGUGAAGCUGAAUAUGUGGCAGCAUCUUGGUGUGUGUGUCACGCUAUAUGGCUCAGAAAUUUGUUGGGUGAGUUGGAGCAACAACAACUUGGUGCAACUGAGAUACGAGUUGACAAUAAAUCAGCGAUUGAGUUGGCAAGGAACCCAGUGAAUCAUGAGAGAAGCAAACACAUUGACAUUCGUUUUCAUUUCAUCCGAGAUCAUGUAAAGGAAGGAAGUGUGAAAUUAGUGCACGUGGCAAGUCGGGACCAAGUCGCGGAUAUCUUUACAAAACCGCUACCGAUGAUACUCUUCGACAACUACAAGAAAUUAAUCGGCAUGAAGGAUGGCAGAAGCAUUUAAGUUUACAGGGGAGUUUUGUUAAAUAAACUUAAAUGAAAGUUAAGAGUCAUGUAAGUGAAAGGUCAAGAGUUGAAAGGUCUAGAGUUAUAUUGUUUUUUUAAUGGGUUUAAAUUAGUAGUUUUUUGUUUAGGAAAAUGAAAGGUCAAGAGUCAUUGGUUUAUGGUUAUUAUUAGAUUUUAAUAUUUUCAAUUUUUGUUGUUUUAAAUGGUAAACUAUAGCCUAUAAAUAGUUUGUAAGCUUUUGAUUUUAUAUGAGAGAACAAUUUUAUAUUGAGAACAUUUUCCACACAACAUACCCACUCACUAUUUUCACCCCUUUAAAUGCAAAGCUUGAUGACUUUGUACCUGUGUUGGGUUGGUCUCUUGCCAAGCAGCGAACUCCACUAUAUUUCGAGCUAUUAUUAAUACAUACGUAUGUGUAAAAAGAAGGACCCUUCUCCAUAUUCGAGAGCUCUGCAUAUGAGAGAGCUCCAUCAUGUGUUACUGUGUGUUGGUUUCUAACUUAGCAAACAAAGUUUAAAAACAACUUAGAUGAAUGUUUUAGAUGUUUGAAAGAUUAAAACAGGAGCAAGAACAAGCAAAAGUUGAAUGAGCAAAGUGUUUUUCUCAUUACCUGAAUAAGUGCAUGGUUACAUACAUAAAUAGAACAAAAGCUACAUAGAAAGAAAACAAAGCUUGCUUGUGCAAGUAACUAAAGGUUUACAUCAACAAAAUGACAACCUAAUUUGACUACUAAAUCAGCUAAGCACACAUUUUAACCUUAGCUGAUCAAAGCAAAUAAUGAUUACACCAUAGACUAACAAAAGUCAACUAAACAAACAAGGCUUGUCGAAUUGCACAAUGGAUUUUAACAUGCUUCAGCCGAGUUUCUGGUUUCAUGCAUGCAACGUAGGUUUUGCAUGGAUUCUUAAACUUUGCUGCUGUAGUUGCCACCUUUUAAACACUCCUCCUUGGCUACAAAGCAGCAAACUCCGAUUUUCUUCUUCAAAUAUUCAAACCUUGAAGCAGCCAAUGGUUUGGUUAAUAGAUCAGCAAGUUGAUCUUUUGAGCAGCAGUGAACUAAGCUUAUCUCCUUGGACAUUUCAGCUUCUCUCACAAAAUGAUAUCUAAUUUUAAAAUGAUUGGUCUUACCAUGAAAAACUAGAUUUUUGGCAAUGGCUACAGCCGAUUGGUUGUCAACCUUAAUCACAGUGGCCUCCUUUGGAUCAGCAUUCAGAUCACACAAUAUUUUCCUAAGCCAAAUGGCUUGAUUUACAGCAGAAGCAGCUGCGAUGUAUUCUGCCUCAGCAGUGGAUUGAGCCACUGUCUGUUGCUUCUUCGAGCUCCAGCAGAAGACACUUGAGCCAAGGGUGAAGAAGUAGCCUGAUGUGCUCUUCAUGUCAUCAGCAGAACCAGCCCAAUCACUGUCUGAAUAUCCCAUUAGUCUCAGCUCCUCAGCCCUUUCAAACUUCACUCCACAACUCAGAGUCCCUUUGACAUACCUUAGGACCCUUUUUGCUGCUUUAAAAUGUGCAACUGUGCAGCAAUGCAUGAAUCUCGAUAGAAGACCAACAGCAUGCAUGAUGUCAGGUCUAGUUGCAGUCAAAUAGAGCAGGCAGCCAACCAAGCUUCUGUAAUUCUUUUCAUCCACUCGAUCUUCAUCUCCUAGGCUAGUGAGUUUUUCUCCUAAAGCCACAGGAGUGCUAGCAGGCUUGCAGUUUGUCAUGCAAAACCUGCUCAAAACCUUCGAUGCGAAUGCCUUCUGGCCUAUGAAAAUACUUUGUUCAUUUUGUUUCACUUCCAUGCCAAGGAAGUAUGUCAUUAAUCCAAGGUCAGUCAUUUCAAACACAGUUUGCAUUUGCUUCUUAAAGGUUUCAAUUUCCUCCCUUUUGCAGCCAGUGACCAGUAAAUCAUCAACAUACAAUGAAACAAUUAGCAAAGUUUCAUUACCUUCCUUCUUAACAUAGAGAGUAGGCUCACUGGUGCUCUUUGUGAACCCGAGCCUUGUCAGGUAGGUAUCCAUUCGAUCGUACCAGGCCCUUGGAGCUUGCUUGAGACCAUACAGGGCCUUUUUGAGCUUGUAGACCUUCUCUUCUUCUCCUUGAACUUCAAAGCCUUCAGGUUGAUCUAUGAAGAUUUCCUCCAUGAGAAAUCCAUUUAAAAAGGCUGAUUUGACAUCCAGUUGAUGCACCUGCCACUGUUUCUGGGCUGCUAAGGCAAACAACAUUCUUAUAGUGUCCAGCCUUGCAACAGGAGCAAAGGUUUCAAAGAAAUCGACUCCCUGCUGUUGGCUAUACCCUUUCACAACUAAUCUAGCUUUGUGUCUGUUCAGUGAUCCAUCUGCAUUAUAUUUGAUCUUGAACACCCAUUUAACUCCAAUGAUCUUCCUACCUUCUGGUCUAUCAACCAGCUCCCAGGUUUCAUUCUUUUGAAUCAUCCUUAGUUCAGCUUCCAUAGCCUCUUGCCAGCAUUUCUCUUUCGAGGCUUCAGCAUAGCAGGAUGGCUCAACCAUGGUCACAGCACAUCUUUCAUAGAUGUCUGCCAAUGUUUUGGUGCCCCUAACAGGCAUAUCAUCAAAAUCAUCCAUAGCUUCAUUUUCAACUUCAGCAUGUUGGUGAUCAAGGUCCUACAAGUCUUCUUCAGCUAAGCUUGCAUCUGUCCCAUUCCACUUCCAAUAGCUUCCUUCAUUGAACUUGACAUCUUUGCUUACAAUAACCUUUUUUGUUGAUGGAUCAAAGAUCCUAUAACCCUUCCUCACACUGCUGUAGCCGACAAAUACCCCUGGCACAGACUUUCUUUCCAGCUUGGUUCUCUUCUCUGCUGGCACAAGUGCAUAGCAUAAGCAUCCAAACACUUUCAAGUGUGACACGAUUGGUUUCUGCCCGAACCAGACCUCAAAGGGUGUUUUACCUUUGAAUGCUUUAGUUGGUAGUCUAUUUAGUAAGUAGACAGAUGUGUUUACUGCCUCAGCCCAGAAGUUGUUUGGCAUUUUGGCCUCAAACAGUAGGCAUCUGGCCAUAUCAAGAAUAGUCCUGUUUUUCCUCUCACAAACACCAUUUUGCUGUGGUGUGUAGACAGUGGUCAGUUGGUGUAGGAUGCCAGCAUCAUCACAAAUCUUCUGGAACCUCUGAGACACAUACUCGGCUCCAUUUUCUGACCUUAGGCUCUUGAGUUUGUUGUUGGCUUGGUUUUCAGCCAAAGCCUUGAACUUGUGAAAGAAGUCAGUGACAUCUGACUUUUGUUUCAAGAAGGUUACCCAACAAAACCUGGUGCAGUCAUCAAUGAACAAGGCAAAAUACUUGCAGCCAUUUAGUGAGCUGGUCUUCAUAGGUCCACAGAUGUCAGUGUGAACCAACUGAAGUUUCUCUUGGGCUCUCCAUGCCUUGUUGACUGGAAAGGGCAGUCUGGUUAGCUUGCCAAGCUGACAGACUUCACACACCUCUUUGUUUGGCUCGAACUUAGCCAUAUCUUCAACCAAAUUCAGUUUUUGCAUUUGCCCGAGUGAGUUGUAGUUCACAUGCCCCAUUCUUUUGUGCCACAAACUUGCCUCAUCAGUCUGAGCUGCAUAUGCUCUUGCUUGCAACUGAUUUACAUCCACAAUGAAGGUUCUAUCUUGCAUAGCUACUUUUGCCAACACCUGGUCAGUAGCAUCUUUGAUUGUGCAGAUUUUGCCUUCAAACAGGAGAGAGUACCCUUUCUCCAGUAGCUGACCAACACUUAACAAAUUUUGGUCAAUGUCAGGUACAUAAAGAACUUCUGAAAUGGUUUUAAUACCUGACUUGGUGAAAAUCACUGCUUUGCCUUUGCCUUUAGCCUUGAGAAGCUCACCAUUUCCAAUUCUGACAUUGGAUUCAAAUGAGGUGUCAAGCUCCUUGAACAUGCUUUCCUCUGAGGCCAUAUGAUGAGUGCAUCCACUAUCGAUCAGCCAAAUUUUGCUGACUUUGCUCGAGCUUGCAAAGCAGGAGGCUGUGAAGACAUGUUCUUCCUGUGCCUCGAUGUCUUCAGCUACUUGAGCCUGAUUAUGAUUCUGUGACUGAGCUUUUGGUUUGUUCUUACACACUUUCUCAAUGUGACCAAGCUGUUUGCAGCCUCUACACUGAAUGUCAGGCCUGUACCAGCAAUAUUUCUCAAGGUGAGUUGUUCUUUUGCAAUGAACACAGGGUGGAAACUUCUUCUUGGCAGCUUCCUUCUUUCCUCUUUCUUUCUUUUCUGACCAAGGCUUCUUGCCUUUGUGAUUCGAGCUGAAGCUUGAGCUCUCUCUACUCCUAGCUUGAAAAGCUCCCUCAGAAUACUCCUCCAUUCUGUUUGCUCUUCUUUGCUCUUGAGCAUAGAGAGCAUUUAUCAGUUCUGUCAAGGGAAUGGCAGAUAAGUCCCUCGAAUCCUCCAGGAAAGAAAUCUUGGAUUCAUACUUAUCUGGCAAGGUUGUUAUGAUUUUCUCCACUACCCUCUGAUCACUAAAGUCAUCUCCAAGCAGUCUUAUGUUGUUGACAGUAGAAAUAAUUCUGUCAGCAUACUGCUUGAUGGUUUCUGAGUCUUUCAUUCUCAGAUUCUCAAAGUCCCUUCUCAAGUUGAUGAGUUGUUGCUGCCUGGUUUUGUCUGAGCCUUGAAACUCUUCCUUGAGUUUGUCCCAGGCCUCCUUUGGUGUGUCGCAGGCCAUUAUCCUUGUGAAGAUAGCAUCUGAAACUCCACUUUGAAGACAUGACAUGGCCUUGUACUUCUUUGCACAGUCUUCAUUAUACUGCCUUAUCUGAGCUAUCGUGGGAUUAGCUCUUAAGGGUGGUGGUUCUGUGUCAUUUUGGACAACAUUCCACAGGUCAUGUGCCUGUAGAUAUGUUUUCAUUUUGACAGCCCAUAUAUUGUAGCUUUCACCAGCAAACACGGGUGGAGGUGGUGGUGAGAAGCUCAUCUUCACGCAGCUUCCAAAAACCUGAGCAACAAAGAUAGUUCCUGCUUCUUUUCUUUCAAACACACAGCACACAACAAGAGGCCCUCAAAGACAACAGGCUCUCGAUACCAUUUGUUGGUUUCUAACUUAGCAAACAAAGUUUAAAAACAACUUAGAUGAAUGUUUUAGAUGUUUGAAAGAUUAAAACAGGAGCAAGAACAAGCAAAAAGUUGAAUGAGCAAAGUGUUUUUCUCAUUACCCGAAUAAGUGCAUGGUUACAUACAUAAAUAGAACAAAAGCUACAUAGAAAGAAAACAAAGCUUGCUUGUGCAAGUAACUAAAGGUUUACAUCAACAAAAUGACAACCUAAUUUGACUACUAAAUCAGCUAAGCACACAUUUUAACCUUAGCUGAUCAAAGCAAAUAAUGAUUACACCAUAGACUAACAAAAGUCAACUAAACAAACAAGGCUUGUCGAAUUGCACAAUGGAUUUUAACAUGCUUCAGCCGAGUUUCUGGUUUCAUGCAUGCAACGUAGGUUUUGCAUGGAUUCUUAAACUUUGCUGCUGUCGUUGCCACCUUUUAAACACUGUGGCUUUAUUGCUUGAAAACUCAUUGCUCCAUGCAAGUAAAUUUCUUUUAAUUGGAUUGCCUUGAAGUUCAUAUUUUGCUGUGUGAGUUUCAAAACAACACAUGCUGGACACUAUAAAUAUUUGAGCACACCACACACAAAUAUCUUUAUCUAUUCACAUAUUAAAAGUACAUGAUAUUAUCGAUACAUAAUAAAAACAAAAGUGCACACACACAUUGGCUUCCAAGAAAGAAGCACGGUUUUAUUUAGUUUCCUACGUACACACCCUGCCUGACUCAGAUCCUGUCGUGCCUUCCCAGUAGCAGUAGUUGCUCAAAUGGAAGAGCUGAGUGAUUCUUCUUUGGUUUGAAAGUUGAGACUAAUCAUGUAAAGAAUAAGAGUGAAAACACAUAGAAAGAGAGAGAUCAAAUUAAUCGAUAGUUAGAAAUUGCUGCUGCCUAAAAAUAAAACAAAAUGUCUGUCGCUGCGCCAAGGAUUAUAGUGCUGAAAUCCAAGGAGGAAUAUUUGGGCAUUAUCAAUGGAAAUGGAGUGGAUGAUGGGCAUCUCAAAAUUUCAUCGGCAACACAAGCUACAAGAUCAUAUGCAAAAUUUGAGGUGGAGGAGGCGGCUUCUGGACAUGGUUUGGUGCACAUAAGGAGCUGCGGAAACAACUAAUACUGGGAACGAGUCCAAAAGAAUCCGAUGGGGGGAAAUUCAGACAGCCAAUACUGGAUUGCUGCGACUGCCAAAAAGCGGGAGGAAGACCAAUCCAAGAGCUCCUGCACAUUGUUCAAGUUUAUCCCUGUGAACACUGCAGCAAAUACUGUCCGAAUUAUGCAUGUCCAGUCGAAAUGCCCUUUAUACCUUGGUACUAACCGCUACGUGUUGGCGAGCAACCACGUUUUCGACGGUAGUUCCGAUGAUAUCUUCACAAUCAUCAACGGGGAGACGCUGCUUGGUUUGCCAAGGUAUGUGGCAUUCAAAGGAGAUAAUACUCAUUAUCUUUGUCUUCGUCACAUGAAGGGUCGCCCAUAUUUGCAGUUUUCAUCUAAUGAUAUUAGCGACCCAAAUGUGACAAUGGAGGUUUUCGUAAAAAAUGACGGAAUGCUCCUCAUCAAGCCCGUUUCUUCCGAUAAUUAUUGGAGGGACAGCAUGGGCUGAAUUUGGGUAGAUUCCAACGACACCAGUGAUCGAAACACUUGGUUCCGCCCGUUAAAGUUAACGACAACACAAUAGCCCUCCUCACCCUUCGCAACAAUUACUUUUGUAAGCGCCUCACAGCCGAUGGAAAGGAUAAUUGCCUUGAUGCAUGCAUCCCCACCAUUACCCAAGAAGCCCAACUGUUGGUGGAAGAGCCAGUCAUGGAAAGGCAAAUUCAGGGUGUCAAAUAUGACCUUGAUAAUCGGAGGAUGCUUGAGGAGACUGUCAUGGUUAUGGGCGAGCAUACCCACAAAAACAGUAGCCCCCAUUCACAGUUUUAUGAAGUGAAAAUUUCUCUUCAAAAUACUGCCACUCGCACUUGGAAGGCUAAUCUUUCACUCAAGCUAGGACUGAAAGCCACCUUAGGUGUCCAACUUCCAUUAUUGGUUGAUGGGAAGACUGAACUAUCAACGGAACUUCAUGCAGGAUACGAGUUUGGAAAGAUCUAUACCGAUACCUCUAACAUGGAAUUCACCCACAAAGUUGAGGUGUCUCGCAUGAGUAAGAUGACCGCAAAACUGGUUUCAACACUUGGUAAGUACGAUAUUCCCUUCACCUACAUGCAAAAGGACACUCUUUAUAAUGGGAAAACUGUCAUAUAUGAUGUGCAAGAUGGCACUUACACCGGUUCUAAUUUCUACAACACCAGAUUCGAAAUCAAAGAAGUGCCGCUCAGCUCUUGAAUUUCAGAGCAACUAUACAAUGUUUGCUACUACGAGGGCAUCACAAAAUUAUAAUUAGAUGAUAGUGCUUGUUUGUUUGUUGUCCGUGUGUGUACUAAAUUAAAUAGACUGUGCGUGUAGAAUUCUGAGUUCGGUCAAAUAGGUGUACUCUUUUUCCAGUUUUUGUAUGUAUACAUAUAAAGAGUGGUUUUUCAAUGAGGCACCUUUAAAAAUAAUGUGUUUCCUUUGUGAAAGUCUAUGUAUGAGUGUGUGCAUCUACUAAAUUAAAUAAUGUUUGUAUUUCCUUCAUGCAGGCAGGUGUGUGUUCAUCUACUAAAUUAAAUAUUGAAUGCGUAGUUUCUUUUAAUUAUAUAUACAUUCAAUCCUAUGAUAAAUUUGUUAUAGUUGCAUAAAAUUUUAUGAUAAAUUGGUUAUAAUUGUUGUCGAACCUCCAAUAAUCAAACUCUUCUAACAUUCUCGAUAAUUAAGAUGAACACCAUUGGUUACUUCCUUUAUCGAUAAAUAAUCCUACAAGAAAUGGCUAAAAUUCAAUUUACCAAUAGCAUGAGACUCAAUUCUUGUAAGCAAAUACACAAACAAGAUUCAUUGAGACAAAAUCAUAUUAUCCACAUAAUAAUUAAUUUCAUACUAAUUUCAUCUUUGGAUCAAAAACAAGCAAGGAGUGAAAUACCACAAAGAGAAAGUGUACUUACUAAAAAAAUGGUGUAAUGGGCACGUGCUUUCUUCAACUGCCCAUAAAAAUCAUAUUCUGACUUUUCUAUGGAGAAUAUCUACCAAUAACUUCCAUGGAAUGAAUAAUCAGUCCGAAUACUAAAAACAACAAUGCUUUCGAAUAAGCAUAGGUAAUCAAAUGAAAUAAAGUGGCUCGAUAAGUCCCCAUACCUAGAGCUAACAUCAUAUAACCCAGUUGGGACAUUGUAGAAUAGGCUAAAUCCCUCUAAAUAUCUUUUUGAGCAAGGGAUAAAGUAGACCCUAACAAUACUAUUUCUAUACCUAUCAAAGAUUUUAGAUUCAUUAUGUAAGAUAUAACUAUAAAAAGAGGAAGAAUGCGGAGUACAAGAAAAAUUCACGCAGCUACCAUAGUAGCAACUUGUAUAAGAGGCGAAAUAGGAGUAGACCCUUCCAUGGCAUCAAGUAACCAUACAUGAAGAGGAAACUGUGCAGAUUUAGCAACUGCGCCGACAAAUAAUAAAGAGACACAUAGAUAACAAAUAAAAAAUGGAUCUCAUUAUUAUAAAUAAAAUUAUUAAAUAUUUCGAACAAAUCUUGAAAUUCAGAACUUCCCAUUAUCCAAUAAAAACAUAAAAGUUCCUAAUAAUAAAUCAAAAUUGCCUAUUUGAUUAGUUACAAACACUUUUUCACAAGCGUUUGGCAUAGCGGGUUGUAUAAUCCAAAAUCCUAUUAAUAGAUAAGAACACAUUCCAACUAAUUCCCAAAAAAUAUAAUUUUUUAUCAAAUUCGAACGACAUACACAACCAUGCUAUUCGCCACAAGUAUUAGAAUCAAUUGAACAAUUAAAUUCAAAUUGAUAAGACAUAUAUAUCAAGCUAUCUAAUAUGAGUUCUAUAUUCAACAAACUUGAAUAUUUAUAGUUAAAGCAAAAUAUAUACAAAUACCAAAGAAUAUUAAAAAAUUAAAAAUAAUAUAGAACCCACAAACUUAAAAAAUCAAAGCAUGGAAAAUUGUUUGAUUAACAAAAGAGUUUAGCAGCUCUUAAAUUGAAUUGAAGGACGUCUAGACCAAUAAGUGAUUCAGAGGCUUUUGCACUGGCAAUAGCUGGGGUUAAACAUUCGGAUACCUGUAAAGCAUGAUGGUGAGAGUGUUGAAGAGAAUAUUACCAUAGUUGUUUUAUUUCUGCUGCAAUGUAUUUAGUUAAUGAAAUUUUGCAGAGUUGCUUUUAUUGGCUUUGGUAGAGUUUAUUAUAUGCUACAAGUUUUUGUGGCUAAAAUGGCUUGGAUUCUCCAUGGCCUUUUUCUGUAAUUGUUAAUGAUUGAGAAAAAAAAAAGUAAUUCAGAGGAUGAAAACUCUUAAUAAUGAUAGGUUGGUAUUGGCUUGAGCUUUUAAUUCAGAGGAUGAAAACUCUUAAUAAUGAUUGAGAAUUUUUUUUUUUUGGUAAAAUAAAAUAGCUUUAAGCGACAUUGCUAAGAAAACGAUCAGUUCAUUUUACAACCAUUAUAAUCUGGUUGAACUAAAUCCCGUAUUGAAUAAAAUGGUUCUUCAAACACUUGGACCUCUGAAACUUGUAGCCGUAACUUUAGUCAUAUGGUCAGCAACUGCAUUAUGAGCUCUUGGAAUAUGGUGUAAUUCCAACAUCUUACUAUCAAUUGAACCCUAUGUGAUGGCUUAAUGGUUAAAGGUGUUCACUACCUUAGGUGUGACUUGGGUUCAAGUUGCGCUAGUCGCGUUUGUUGUUCAGGCUUUACCCUAUCAUUAUAAUUCACCACAGAAAAAAAAAAAAAAAAACAUCUACGUUUCAAUGAUAAAAUUUGAUCUAAAACAGGUUAGUCUCUUCUAUUCAACAUACCCACUCACUAUUUUCACCCCUUUAAAUGCAAAGCUUGAUGACUUUGUACCUGUGUUAGUGUGGGUAGGUCUCUUGCCAAGCAGUGAACUCCACUAUAUUUCGAGCUAUUAUUAAUACAUACAUAUGUGUAAAAAGAAGGACCCUUCUCCAUAUGUGAGAGCUCCAUCAUGUGUUAGUGUGGCUUUAUUGCUUGAAAACCCAUUGCUUCCAUGGAAGUAAAUUAAUUUCUUUUAAUUGGAUUGCCUCGAAGUUCAUAUUCUGCUGUGUGAGUUUCAAAACAACACAUUCUGGACACUAUAUUUAGAGUAUUUGAGCACACCAAACACAAAUAUCUUUAUUUAUUCGCAUAUCAAAAGUAAAUGAUAUUAUCGAUACAUAAUAAAAAUAAAAGUGCCGUUGAAAUUGGCCAACCAUGCUGCUAUUACAUGUUUUGGUUGAAGUGCAUGCAGCUUGAUGACAUGCUGCAGCACGUAUACUUACUAUAAUAGUAAGGUUUUCUUUUUAGUUUCUUUGUUGAUUAAACUACUUGGAAAUGAACAAGCUGAUGACAGCUUGAUAUGUUUAGGUGUUGAAUGACUAGUUUAGGUGGUUUGUUUGUGUACAAGCAAUGUUUUUAAAGUUACUAGGCUACUUAGUGGUAGUAGGUAGUAAUAACUGAUGUAGUUGGCUAUAAAUGUAUUGUUUUUCUUAUUGAAAAAUUAAGCAUAUCACUUGUGUAAAGCAGAUUGCUUCCUUGCUGCACGUUUGUGAGCAAGUAAAUUGUUUUUGUUUCUUCCUCCUUUGUUCUCUGUCUUGUUCUUUUUCUUUUUGCUGCUGUCAUUGUUCCAACAAAUGGUAUCAACAGCCUAAGUCUUAAGGGGCCAUUGAUUUUGCUUCCGUUGCUUGUUAAAAAGAAAGAAGCUGUCAAAACACAAGCAAGUCAUUAAGGACUGCUUGUAGAGAAGACAGCAUUGGCUCAAACUUAUGAGACCCCCAAACAAGCUUGAAUAAGCUGGAGGAGGAGUUUCAGUUUCAAGGAAAGGUGUGAGCUUUCCAAAUGUGCAAGCUUAGCAAGAUGUCAAAGCUGCAAGCUUAGCAAAGUGCGAGCCUGUUGAAGACACCUGUUGAAGACAAUGUGCAAAGAUGUGAGUCUGUCAAAGGUGUGAGCUCAGCAACAUGUGGAAUCUCAAUGCGUGUUGUAUAGUUGCAAGCCUGUUGAAGACAGUAAGCAAAGUGUGAGCCUGUCGAAUUGCAAGCCAAAAUGGCAAAAUGAAGGCAAGCAAACUAUACUCACGAACUAUUUGUGCAAGAAGAAGCAAGAUUGUAGUGAACAAAGAAACAAGGUAAGAUGUGUAGUCGACCAAGGCUGUGAAGGAGGAGAAGACUCCAUUUGGUGAACAAAUCUUUGGCACAAAAGACUGGGAUAGUCAAGUGUGUAAGUCAGAUUUGUUUGUGAAUGAAGCCAAGGUUGAAAAUGAAUUGGUCAGCUUGAAACAAAACAUCUAAGGGCUGUCAAGUUCAAAAAACUUGAUGAAUGAUUGGUAUUUGCAGCAUGGAGUCCAAGGAGGAGUGUUGAAAUUGGCCAACCAUGCUGCUGUUACAGUGCAUGCAGCUUGAUGACAUGCUGCAGCAUGUAUACUUGCUGUAACAGCAAGGUUUUCUUUUUAGUUUCUUUGUUGAUUAAACUACUUGGAAAUGAACAAGCUGAUGACAGCUUGAUAUGUUUAGGUGUUGAAUGACUAGUUUAGUUGGUUUGUUUGUGUACAAGCAAUGUUUUUAAAGUUACUAGGCUACUUAGUGGUAGUAGGUAGUAAUAACUGAUGUAGUUGGCUAUAAAUGUAUUGUUUUUCUUAUUGAAAAAUUAAGCAUAUCACUUGUGUAAAGCAGAUUGCUUCCUUGCUGCACGUUUGUGAGCAAGUAAAUUGUUUUUGUUUCUUCCUCCUUUGUUCUCUGUCUUGUUCUUUUUUUUUUUGCUGCUGCCAUUGUUCCAACAAGUGCACCCACACAUUGGCUUCCAUGAAAGAAGCACAGUUUUAUUUAGUUUCGUACAUACACACAUCCUGCCUGACUAAGAUCCUGUCGUGCCUUCCCCGUAGCAGUAGUUGCUUAAACGGAAGAGCUGAGUGAUUCUUCUUUGGUUUGAAAGUUGAGACUAUAGUAAUUAGAACCAGUGUAAGUGCCGCCUUGCACUUCAGAUAUGACAAUGUUGCCAUUAUAAAGAGUGUCCUUCUGCAUGUACGUGAACGGAACAUCACAUGUACCAUUUAUUGCAGUCAGAUUCACCGUCACCUUAGUCAUCGGAGGCACAACAACUUUGUGUAGAACAUCCAUCAUAGAAGUCACUGUCUUGGUAUCUUCCCACUCAAAUCCUGUCUGAAUUUCGCCAGAUAACUCAAUGCUCCCCUCAAAAAUUUUUGGAAGGCCGAAUUUCAUGGUAGCUUUUGCCCCUACCUUUAGUGAUACAUUAGCCUUCCAAGUACGAGUGUGGGUGUCUGUGUAAGAAAGUUUCAGCUCUAAAGAUUCGGAUUUCCGGGUAUAGUUACUAGCAGAAUUCAUCGCAAUCACAAGUUUGCUUUCGUCGUAGAUCCUGCAAUUAUCAAGAUCAUACUUGAUAUUAUAAAAUUUCCUUUCCAAAACAGGCACUUCCACUCGAAGCUGGACUUCCUUUGUAAUAGAGGUGUUAAGAAAUGGCUUAAAAUUGGUAGUGGAUUGUUGUUGUUGGUAGUGGGUUGUUGGUGGUAGUGGAUUAGUGGAUGGUUGUUGGUGUCCAUUUUCAACCACAAAUCUUUGCCAAAGUUUUGGACAAUUAUGUCCUUGAACUCUCUUAUAAAUAGAGAGGUUCAUUAGCCAUAUUGAUCAUCCCAAACCAAGAGAGAGCAAAGCUUGUUCUUUGAAAGCUAGGAUUUUAGCUUUCGGGUUUUCUAUAGGGGUUGAGAGUUGUGAGGUUCUCGGGUUGUGUCUUGAGUGUAAAACACUUGUAAUCUUCAUCUUGUUAUAGUGAAAUUUCUUUUCGCCUCUGCCCGUGGACGUAGGCAUUAAAGCCGAACCACGUAAAUCCUUGUGUUCACUUUAUUUUUCGUUUCGGUCAAUUUACUUGUAGUCAUAUCGGAGUUCUCGAAUCGAUCCUUUCCGCAACAAAUUGGUAUCAGAGCGUAGUUGAAGGAGUGAUAAUAUUUUCUGAAUUGCCCUGUGACUGCAGCUUUGUCUGAUCUUUCACAUCAGGAAGAAAAUAUUAUCAUUCAUUCAAAGGUUCCAAAUUAUGGCUACAAGUGUUUCAUCGACUAAGUAUGAUGUCGAGAAAUUUACCGGGAAAAAUAGUUUCAGUUUAUGGCGCAUCAAGAUGCGGGCAGUGCUGGUUCAACAAGGAUUGCUAAAAGCAUUGUCUGGUAAAGAUAAAUUACCAAGCACGCUUUCGGAAGAGCAAAAGGAUGACAUGCUAGAAAGAGCACAUAGUGCUAUUCUGCUAUGUCUAGGAGAUGAAGUGCUACGAGAAGUAGCGGAUGAGAAAACCGCGUCCGGUUUGUGGCUCCGGUUAGAAAGCAAGUACAUGACGAAGUCAUUGACGAACCGGCUCUACCUCAAGCAAAGACUCUAUGCCCUGAAGAUGGAGGAAGGUACACCUGUUUCCCAGCACCUGGAUAAAUUCAAUUCCAUUAUCAUGGAUUUGAAUAAUAUCGAUAACAAAAUCGAUGAUGAGGACCAAGCAAUAAUUGUUUUGUGUUCUUUGCCUCCCUCGUAUGAGAAUUUUGUUGAUACAAUGAUGUACGGUCGUGAUGACCUGACUCUAGAGGAGGUGAAAAAUGCCUUAAGUUCCAGUGAGUUGAGGAAGAAAAUCACUGGUAAGGUGGUCGAAAACAAUGAAGGCGAAGGCUUGGUUGCUCGAGGAAGAUCCAAGGCAAAGGGUGGAAGUUCAAGUAAAAGCCAUCCUAGAUCGCAGUCCAAGAAGAGAAUACAGUGCUACUACUGUAAGAAGUACGGGCACAUGAAGGUAGAUUGUCCGAAAAGGAAGGAGAAAUCAGAAUCACAGGAGCAACAAAAUGAUCGUGCGAAUGUAGCUGAUGCAGAUUCUUCAAGUGAUGCCGAGAUCGUUCUUGCAGUAUCCGACUCUUACGCUGGUGGGAGAUGGAUUCUUGAUACGGGAGCUACAUUUCAUAUAAGUACUUCGAAAGAUGCAUUCUCAACAUACGAGAAGCAUUCUGGUUCAGUACUAAUGGGAAAUGACCACGCAUGUCAAGUCAUGGGGAUUGGCACAGUUCGUAUAAAGAUGUUUGACGGUAUUGUUAGAACUCUAACUGAUGUUCGGCACAUUCCAGAAAUGAAGAAAAAUUUGAUCUCUUUGAGUACGUUGGACAAGAAAGGCUUUCGGUACUCUGCUGAAGGUGGAGUUCUCAAGGUAUUCUCGGGUGCUUUGACUGUGAUACGUGGUAAUUUGGAGCGGGGCCUUUACUUCCUCGAUGGUUCCUCGGUUACAGGUGUUGCGGGAGUGUCAUCAUCAGAUGAUCUAGAUUCUGACACCACGAAGUUAUGGCAUAUGCGGCUCGGGCAUAUGAGCGAGAGAGGCUUAUCGGUGCUAAGCAAACGAGGAUUAUUGUCUGGGCAGUGUACAGGAAAGUUGAAUUUCUGUGAGCACUGCGUCUUCGGUAAGCAGACUCGGGUAAAGUUCAGCACUGGGAUUCACAAGACAAAAGGCACAGUGGAUUACUUCCAUUCUGACCUUUGGGGGCCUUCUCCGACAAUUUCUAAAGGUGGUUACAGAUAUCUGCUUACCUUUAUCGAUGAUUACUCGAGAAAGGUUUGGGUGUAUUUUCUGAAGAGCAAGUAUGAGGUUCUCAUCAACUUCAAGCAAUUUAAAGCUUUGAUCGAAAAUCAAACAGGAAAGAAGAUCAAGCGAUUCCGGACGGAUAAUGGCUUGGAGUUUUGCUCAGGUGAAUUCAAUGAGUUCUGCAAGAAUGAAGGAAUAGUGAGACACCGCACUGUUCGUCGAACACCACAACAAAAUGGAGUUGCAGAACGCAUGAAUAGAACUCUCUUGGAGCGAGCUCGUUGCAUGCGAUCAAAUGCUGGGCUCGGUGAAGAAUUUUGGGCUGAAGCUGUUAAUACUGCUUGUUAUUUGGUUAACAGAUCUCCGUCAACAGCUAUUGAGCUGAAGACUCCUGAGGAAGUAUGGUCUGGUUCUCCUGCUGAUUACUCUGGUUUAAGAGUGUUUGGCUGCCCUGCGUAUGCUCAUGUAAAUGAGGGAAAACUCAAACCGAGGGCGAAGAAAUGCAUAUUUCUUGGAUACGGCCAAGGGGUGAAAGGAUACAGGUUGUGGUGUCCUGAUCCGGUUUCGUCCAAGUUCAUCAUCAGCAGAGAUGUGACUUUUGAUGAGUCAUCCAUGCUUCGAUCCACCACAAAUUCCCGGGAAAAGGAGGAGUCAGAUAGAAUGGGAGAUCACGGUGUUGAGAAGCAGGUGGAGUGUCAGGUGGACGCUCCAAUUCCUACGGAAGGUACUUCAGUCCAGGAUGAUCAAGUUGAGGUGCAAGAUUCCGAUGAAGAUGAGUCACCUCAAGAAAAACCAUAUAGCAUUGCCACUGGAAGAACGAAGAGACAAAUCAAACCAAAUCCGCGUUACGCUAAUCUGGUGUCUUUCGCGCUCAGUGUGGCGGAGUCCAUUGGUAUAGAACCUUCCAGUUAUAAUGAGGCUGUCACGUGUGAUGAGUCGGCACAGUGGGCAAUUGCUAUGAGUGAGGAGAUAGAAUCUCUUCACAAGAACCAUACUUGGGAGUUGGUUAAGCCGCCAAGUAACCAGAAGAUAGUUGGUUGCAAAUGGGUCUUCAAGAAAAAGGAAGGCAUCCUAGGGGUUGAAGCAACUAGAUUCAAGGCACGAUUGGUUGCUAAAGGCUUCACUCAGAAAGAGGGGAUUGACUACAAUGAAGUUUUCUCCCCAGUCGUAAAGCAUUCUUCCAUUCGUAUAUUACUUGCCAUGGUGGCCAAGUCUGAUCUAGAACUUGAGCAGCUUGACGUAAAAACGGCGUUCUUGCAUGGUGAGCUCGAGGAAACAAUCUACAUGCGUCAACCAGAGGGUUUUACAGUUCCUGGUAAAGAAGACCAUGUCUGUCUAUUAAAGAAGUCUUUAUAUGGAUUGAAACAAUCCCCAAGGCAGUGGUACAAGCGGUUUGAUAGCUUCAUGAUUCAGCAUGGUUACACAAGAUGUGACUAUAAUGCUUGUGUCUAUCAUCGGAAGCUCUCAGAUGGUUCGCACAUUUAUUUGUUGCUGUAUGUUGAUGACAUGUUAAUUGCUUCCAAAAACAUGUCGGAAAUCAACAAGUUAAAGUCGCAGUUGAGUGGUGAGUUCGAGAUGAAGGAUCUGGGUGCUGCCAAGAAAAUUUUGGGCAUGGAUAUUCACAGAGAUCGCAAGGCGGGCAAGCUUCGUGUGUCGCAGAAGAACUACAUUGAAAAGGUUCUUCAACGCUUCGGCAUGGAUAAAGCGAAAACUGUGAGUACUCCGUUGGCACCACAUUUCAAACUCUCUGCAGAGUUGUCACCACAAUCUGAUGAAGAAAAGCAGCAAAUGUCUCACAUUCCAUACUCGAGUGCAGUUGGAAGCGUGAUGUAUGCAAUGGUUUGCACUCGUCCAGACAUUUCACAUGCAGUUAGUGUGGUCAGCAGAUACAUGAGUUGUCCUGGCAAGGAACACUGGCAGGCCGUGAAAUGGAUUCUCAGGUACUUGAGAGGUUCUGCAGAUUUAUGCUUGGUAUAUGAUCAGAGUGACUGCACUAGCAGUGUCACGGGCUAUGCGGACUCUGAUUAUGCUGGAGAUCUGGACAAAAGAAGAUCUCUGACGGGUUAUGUUUUCACUUAUUCUGGAGGAGCCAUUAGUUGGAAAGCUGUGUUACAGUCUACCGUAGCCUUAUCUACGACUGAGGCGGAAUAUAUGGCGUUAGCAGAAGCAGUGAAAGAAGCAUUGUGGAUGAAAGGUCUAGUAAGCAGUUUGGGUUUACAACAGGAUUUCACUGUUGUAUUUUGCGAUAGCCAGAGUGCCAUACAUCUGACUAAAAAUCAGAUGUUUCAUGAACGGACCAAACACAUUGAUGUCAGAUAUCAUUUUGUUCGGGAACAUGUUACGCAAGGUGACAUUGUUAUCAGCAAGGUUGCUACCGAGAAGAAUCCUGCAGAUAUGUUAACUAAGGUGAUCCCUGCAUAUAAGUUCAAGCAUUGCUUGGACUUGAUAGGUAUUCGGGAUUGAUUAGCGCCAGAGAGGCGUUUGGAAGAGGUGAUCCAGUUCACUAUGAUGUUCAGCUUGGUAAAUUUCAAGCCAAGGUGGAGAUUUGUUAAGAAAUGGCUUAAAAUUGGUAGUGGAUUGUUGUUGUUGGUAGUGGGUUGUUGGUGGUAGUGGAUUAGUGGAUGGUUGUUGGUGUCCAUUUUCAACCACAAAUCUUUGCCAAAGUUUUGGACAAUUAUGUCCUUGAACUCUCUUAUAAAUAGAGAGGUUCAUUAGCCAUAUUGAUCAUCCCAAACCAAGAGAGAGCAAAGCUUGUUCUUUGAAAGCUAGGAUUUUAGCUUUCGGGUUUUCUAUAGGGGUUGAGAGUUGUGAGGUUCUCGGGUUGUGUCUUGAGUGUAAAACACUUGUAAUCUUCAUCUUGUUAUAGUGAAAUUUCUUUUCGCCUCUGCCCGUGGACGUAGGCAUUAAAGCCGAACCACGUAAAUCCUUGUGUUCACUUUAUUUUUCGUUUCGGUCAAUUUACUUGUAGUCAUAUCGGAGUUCUCGAAUCGAUCCUUUCCGCAACAAGAGGAGACAUCUACGUUAAGGCAAUUAGUCUUUCCCUCCUUACUGAGGCUCUUGCAGAAGUUAUUGUUGCCCAAAUUGCGAAGAGCUAUUGUCUGGUCGUUAACUUUGAAGGCUCGAAACAAGGUGUCCUUGUUGUUGCUGGUAGUGUCAUCAGAAUCCGCCCAAAUCCAAUUCGGACUCCGCCGCCAAAACUUAUUGGAACCAGCAGGCUUGAUGCGAAUGCUUCCAUCAUUAUUCAUGAAAACCUCCAUGGUCACACCCGCAUCACCAAUAUCACCAGAUGAAAAUUGCAAAUACGGAUGACCCCCGAUCUGACGAAGACAAAGAUACUGGCCAUUGUUUCCUUUGAAUGCCACAUGCCUUGGCAAAAACACGAGCGAUUCCCAAUCAAUGAUUGUGAACAUAUCACGGGAAUACUCAUCGAGAUGUUCGGACGUGAAGAGGUUGGGAGUUUCACGUAUUACCCAUAAAUGUUUUCUCGAUUGCACAUGCACAAUUUGGACAUCAGUUGCUGAAUCAUCUACAGAGAUAAGCUUGAACAAUGUGCACGACUUCUUGGAUCGGUCUUCCUCCGGCUUCCUGGCGGUCGCGGUGAUUCUGGUUUCAUCGGAAACCAAAUAUUUGUUGUUUUGACUGCUCCUUAUGUGCACUAAGCCAUCUAUGCCACCGCGUUGAGCAAUCUCAACCUCAAAUUUUGCAUAUGGGCUCGCAACCCGAGUUUCAGAAAAUUUGAGAUACCCAUCUUUAUAAUCUCCCUUUUCAUGGUCAAAGCCCAAGUAUUUGUUAUUCUGAUGGGAUUUGAGUACGAUAAACCUUGGCGACGAAAAUGGCUUAUUCGCAAGCAACUCCCAGUCGAUGACUGUGAAGAGAUCACAGGAGUUACCAUCGAAAACUCUGUAGUUUGCCAACACGCAGUUAUUAAACGUUGGAGAAUCUACCCACCAUAAGCAUAAAUAGCAACCUGAUUGCACAUGCAUAAUUCGGAUCUUAUUUGUUGCAGUGUCCACCGGGAUAAGUUUGAACAACGUGCACGACUCCUCGGACCGGCCUUCUUCCGGCUUGUCGGCUGCUGCAGAAAUCCAAUACUGCUCUUUUGAGUUUCCAGUGAUGGAAACAUUUUUGACUCGUUUGCAGUAUUUUUUGUUGUGGCAGCUCUUUAUGUGCACCAACCCAUCUUCCCCACUGCAUUUGGCCCUUUCCACCUCAAAUUUUGUGUAUGGACUGAAAGCCAAAGUUUCCGAAAAUUUGAUAUACCCAUUACAAUCGUAACUCUCAUACAUAUAGCUCAAAUAUUUGUUCCUCGCCUCACAUUUGAUCACCAUAAACCUUGGCGACGCAAAUGGCUUCGCAAGCAACUCCCAGUCGAUGACUGUGAAGAGAUCACAGGAAUUACCAUCGAAAACUUUGUAGUUUGCCAACACACAUUUAUUAAACGUUGGAGAAUCUACCCACCAUAAACAUAAAUAGCAACCUGAUUGCACAUGCAUAAGUCGGAUCUUAUUUGUUGCAGUGUCCACUGGGAUAAGCUUGAACAACGUGCACGACUCCUCGGAUCGGCCUUCCUCCGGCUUGUCGGCGGCUGCAGAAAUCCAAUACUGCUCUUUUGAGUUUCCAGUGAUGGAAACAUUUUUGACUCGUUUGCAGUAUUUGUUGUUGUGGCAGCUCUUUAUGUGCACCAACCCAUCUUCCCCACUGCAUUUGGCCCUCUCCACCUCAAAUUUUGUGUGUGGACUGCAAGCCAAAGUUUCCGAAAAUCUGAGAUACCCAUGACAAUUGGAACUCUCAUGCAUAUAGCUCAAAUAUUUGUUCCUCGCCUCACAUUUGAGCACCAUAAACCUUGGCCAUGCAAUUGCCAUUUUCACUACCCCUCUCUCUUUCUCUCUUUUUUAAUCUAAACUUGAACGGAUAGAUGAGUCUCUACCAAUUAGCUUCUAUUUCGUUUCUUUCUUGCUUAUGCUUACCACAACCUCCUAGACUUCACAAUUUAUAACUAAAAUUUGGUUUCUAUAAAUCACAUUCUUUCCCGCAUGUUCAAGCAAAGUACCGAAGGAGAGACCAAUAAGACAAUGCAAUCCAUAAACAUUACAUCUUUUCAAAGUAAAAGCUAUAAAGUAACAGUGAAUUCUGGCAUAGCAAAGUAAUCAAGUAAAAACAAAUAAAAUAAAUUUUUGAUCCCUAAACUUUGCAACUAGGUCUACUGUUGUGCGAAACCGUGUAAAAGAGUAAAAUUAUUGUAAUAAAAAAUUACACUAAGUUCAAUUCCCAGGAAAGAGAGGUGGAUCGCAAGGAUCGCUUAAGUACCAGGUCUUUCCUAGCCAGAAUAUCCCUCAAUCGUAAUUUAAUAGCACAAUAAAUCACUACAAUCACACACACAAUUCAUGCAGAAUAAUACAAUAAAGAACACAAGAAUUUAACGAGGUUCAGCAAAUUUUGCCUACGUCCUCGGGCACUACCAAAUAUAUUUCACUCCAAAAUACAAGUGAGAAUUUACACAGAGAGAGAGAGAAAACAAUGCCUUAAGUAGAGAAUGGCAAGUUUGAGAUACAGAAUGAGAGAUGGUUAUGCUUAUUUAUAGUUGAGGUUCAGGGAUCAACUUGCAAAGUCGCUUUACAAUUAGGGACCAUAUAUUGCAAAUAUUCAGAUUUUAUUAUGCCAAUAUCUCGAUACCCAUAUCUUUGACUUUCCAAUAUUUGAUACCCAUAUCUUUGACUUUCUAUUAUUUGAUACCCAUAUCUUUGAUUUUCCAUAAAUAUGGAUAAUUCCCAAUAAUCUCCACCUUGAAGAUUUGAUUCGAGUAAUCUUAUCUUCACACAAUUCUCUCUGCCUUUGUCAACAACACUUGAUAGUGCCUUCUUCAACUGUUAAACAUGCAGAAUAUUGAUCAAGUUCAAACAAUGUUCGAACUUGAUUGUUGUUACCACCUUGGUCAUCAUAUCUGCGGGAUUAUCUGCAGUCUUAAUCUUCUGAAGGUGAAUUUUCCCCUCAUCAAUAAUUUCCCGCACAAAGUGGAAACGUACAUCGAUAUGCUUUGUACGUGCAUGAUAGACUUGAUUCUUUGCUAAAUGAAUAGCACUUUGACUAUCACAAUACACAUUAAUAUGCUCCUGGACCAAUCCCAAGGAUUUAACCAUACCUUGUAACCAAAUAGCUUCCUUUACAGCCUCUGUUAUAGCCAUGUAUUCAGCUUCUGUGGUUGACAACGCAACUGUAGACUGCAGUGUAGACUUCCAACUUAUUGGUCCUCCAGCAAGAGUAAACACAUAACCAGUGGUUGAUCUUCGUUUGUCCAAAUCACCGGCAUAAUCAGAAUCAACGUACCCAACAACACCUUUACCAAGUGUAGUAUCCUGCUUGAACAGUAAUCCAAUAUCCAUGGUCUUAUGAAUAUACCGUAGAAUCCAUUUCACAGCUUGCCAAUGUCCUUUUCCAGGAUUAUGCAUAUACCUGCUCACUAUACUAACUGAUUGUGAAAUGUCGGGUCUUGUACACACCAUUGCAUACAUCAAGCUACCUACUGCAUUAGAAUACGGAACUUGUAACAUGUAUUCUUGUUCCGUAUUUGUCGAAGGAGAUAGUUGUGCAGAAAGCUUGAAAUGAGAAGCCAACGGGGUACUUACAGCUUUAGUCUGCUCGUUCAUGCCAAACUUCUGUAGUAUCUUCUUUAAAUAUUGCUUCUGAGAUAAACUAACUCUGCCAUAAGCUCUAUCCCUACAUAUUUCCAUGCCAAGGAUCUUCUUAGCUUCACCUAGAUCUUUCAUCUCAAACUCAAGGUUGAGUUGAGUCUUCAAUCUCUCAAUUUCAACUUUACUCUUAGAUGCUAUCAACAUAUCAUCAACAUAUAAGAGCAAGUAUACGAAAAAUCCUUCUUGUAGCUUCUGAAAAUACACGCAAUGAUCAAAUUUACUUCUUGUAUACCUUUGCCCUUUCAUGAACUGAUCAAAUCGCUUGUACCACUGCCUUGGAGAUUGUUUCAAUCCAUAAAGCGACUUUGUCAGUUUGCAAACCCAAUUUUAUUUAUCAGCAACCUUGAAUCCAUCUGGCUGAGUCAUAUAGAUUUCCUCUUCCAAAUCACCGUGUAAAAAUGCGGUCUUCACAUCGAGCUGAACUAGUUCAAGAUCAUAUUGCGCAACCAAGGCUAGCAAAAUCCGAAUAGACGAAUGCUUCACAACUGGAGAAAAUACUUCAUUGUAGUCUAUUCCUUCUUUCUGAGCGUAACCCUUUGCUACCAAUCUAGCCUUGUAUCGAACUUCAUUUUUAUCAGGAAAUCCUUCCUUCUUUGCAUAUACCCAUUUGCAUCCAAUUGCCUUCUUUCCUUUAGGUAGUGUCACCAACUCCCAAGUCCUAUUUUUAUGAAGAGACUGCAUUUCUUCAUUCAUAGCUUGCUUCCACUUUACACUAUCAGAGUUACUUCUUGCUUCUGUGUAAGUAGAAGGAACAUCAUCAUCUGCAAUUGGAAGUGCAUAGGCCACCAUAUCAUCAAAGCGAGCAGGCAUACGAAUCUCUUUUCUUGGCCUUCUAUAUGCAAUUGAAUCAUGUUGUUGUAGAAGUUCUUGGGUCGAAACUUCUUCAUCAUUUGUUCCUUCAAUAUUAGCUGGAUCAUCAUUAACCUUUUCAAGCUCCACCUGCUGCAAAGUGCUACUGGUUGUGUUAUCCUUUUGUGAAUCAUUGUUCUUCAUCAUGGUUGAUUCAUCAAAAGUCACAUCUCUACUGAAAAUUAUUUUCCUUGUAUCAGGACACCAGAGACGGUAUCCUUUUACUCCACCAGUUAUACCCAUGAAUAAUGCUUUCUUUGCUCUUGGGUCUAACUUAGAUUCUUUUACAUGAUAAUAUGCAGUGGAACCAAAAAUAUGUAAAGAAUCAUAAUCAAUAGCAGGUUUACCAGCCCACCUCUCCAUAGGAGUUUUUCCAUUUAUUGCAGCUGAUGGCAACCGAUUAAUUAGAUGGCACGCAUAUGUAACUGCCUCAGCCCAAAAUUCUUUGCCCAAUCCAGCAUUGGACAACAUACAUCGAACUUUCUCCAGUAUAGUCCGAUUCAUACGUUCUGCCACCCCAUUCUGUUGUGGUGUAUCUCGAACAGUAAAGUGUCGUACAAUACCUUUAUCGUGACAUACUUGUAGAAAUGGAUCAUUCUUGUACUCAGUACCAUUGUCUGAUCGAAGUCGUUUGACUUUUCGACCAGCCUGGGUCUCCACCAUCUUCUUCCAUUUCAGAAAUACAUCCAAAACUUCAUUUUUCCUUUUCAUUAGAUACACCCAUACUUUUCUUGAAUAAUCAUCAACAAAAGUAACAAAAUAGUGCAUACCUCCCAAAGAAGCCACUUUAGUAGGUCCCCACACAUCACUGUGAACGUAGUCCAGAAUUUCUUUUGUAUUGUGAAUUGCUGAACCAAAUUUUAUCCUCGUCUGCUUGCCCAGAACACAAUGUUCACAGAAUUCCAAUUUGCAAGAAUUUGCACCUUUCAACAAGCCUUGCUUCGCCAAACUCUGCAAAGCUUUUUCACCAGCAUGUCCCAAUCGCAUAUGCCAUAACUUGGUAGCCUCUGAAUCUGCAUCUUUCGUAAAAGCUGUUGAUGUUGAUCCAAUAACUGUACUUCCAUUUAAAUAGUACAGAUUAUUCCUUCUUGUGCCUUUCAUCACCGUCAAUACCCCAGCUACUACCUUUAGUAAUCCAUCUUUCAAAGUGAUUGUGAGCCCUUUAGAUUCUAGGACCCCUAAUGAGAUAAGAUUUUUCUUCAAGCUAGGUAUGUAGUGAACAUCUGUCAAGACUUGAAUUGAGUCGUCGUGAUUCUUCAAUUGGAUUGUACCUACUCCCAUUGUCUUACAAGCGCUAUCAUUGCCCAUAAAAACAACUCCACCUUCUAGUUCUUUAAGACUAGAAAACCAGUCCUUAUUAGGACACAUAUGGUAAGUACAUCCCGAAUCCAAAAUCCACUCAUCUGUAUGACAUGCCAUUGCCAUGCCAACCAAGCUAAAGUCUGACUCCUCAUCAUGCUCCGCUACACAUGCAUCAGAAAUAGCUUUACCCUUUUGUAACUUAGGACAAUUCUUUUUCCAAUGCCCUUUCUCACGACAAAAAGCACAUUCAUCUUUGGCAGGUCUCCCUUUGGACUUACUCCUUCUACCAGAUUUGUUGCUGCGCGAACGACUUCUUACUGUUAAGACUUCUGUAGUUGUAUCUCUGUGAUCUUUUUUAUCUUUCUUUCGAGUCUCAGAUCUAUACAACGCACUACAGACUGCAUCAAAUGUGAUUGUAUCCUUCCCAUGAAGCAAUGUGGUGGUAAGAUGAUCAUAUUCAUCAGGAAGAGAAUUCAACAACAGUAAUGCCUUGUCUUCAUCUUCAAAUUUCUCAUCCAAAUUUAGCAAGUCUGCUAAAAUUUUAUUGAAUGAGUUCACAUGGUCAUUCAUCGACAUACCGGGUGCAUACGUGAAUCGAUAAAGUUUCUUUUUCAUAUAAAGCCUAUUUUCAAGACUUUUUGUUAGAAACUUUUCUUCCAGUGUAUCCCACAACUUCUUCGCUGAUGUCUCCCUCAUGACAGAGUACUUCUGCUCUUUGGCCAAACAUAGGCGAAUUGUUCCACAUGCCUGUCUAUUGAUCUUGGCCCACUCCUUGUCAACCAUCUUGUCAGGUUUUUCUUCAAGGGCUAUAUCCAGCUCUUGCUGACAUAAGACAUCCAGGAUCUCACAUUGCCACAUACCAAAAUUAUUGGUACCAUCAAAUUUCUCUACUUCAAAUUUCGCAUUGGUCACAGUAGUCUUUGACGAUGACUUUUCCAUUUUUUUCUCCUCAAUCCCAACUACAGUCGUGAACAGUGCCGUGAACGAUCGUAUUCCCCAAGUACGAAUCUAGCUCUGAUACCAAUUGUUGUGCGGAAGCGUGUAAAAGAGUAAAAUUAUUGUACUAAAAAAUCACACUAAGUUCAAUUCCCAGGAAAGAGAGGUGGAUCGCUAGGAUCGCUUAAGUACCAGGUCUUUCCUAGCCAGAAUAUCCCUCAAUCGUAAUUUAAUAGCACAAUAAAUCACUACAAUCACACACACAAUUCAUGCAGAAUAAUACAAUAAAGAACACAAGAAUUUAACGAGGUUCAGCAAAUUUUGCCUACGUCCUCGGGCACUACCAAAUAUAUUUCACUCCAAAAUACAAGUGAGAAUUUACAGAGAGAGAGAGAGAAAACAAUGCCUUAAGUAGAGAAUGGCAAGUUUGAGAUACAGAAUGAGAGAUGGUUAUGCCUAUUUAUAGUUGAGGUUCAGGGAUCAACUUGCAAAGUCACUUUACAAUUAGGGACCAUAUAUUGCAAAUAUUCAGAUUUUAUUAUGCCAAUAUCUCGAUACCCAUAUCUUUGACUUUCCAAUAUUUGAUACCCAUAUCUUUGACUUUCUAUUAUUUGAUACCCAUAUCUUUGAUUUUCCAUAAAUAUGGAUAAUUCCCAAUAUCUACUUUGAUUCUUAAAUUUAGAUUUUGUCAAGAUUUGAUGAUGUGUCUUGUGCUAUUGGAAUAAGUCUAGGUUGGACAAAUUGAAAACUGAUUGAUAUAACAGUCCGAACAAAGGGGUUGAACGAAUUAACUCAAAAACUACUUAAAAUUGGUUACAAUCGAAAACCAAGAUAAAAAUCAACUAUUGAACAAGUUGAACCAAUUUAGUAUUUUUUAUUUUUUUAAAAGUUUAUAAAUUUUUAAUUAAUUAAUUAUUGUUGGUCUAGCAAUUGAAUCGAUCGGAAUGAUUGAAUCAGGAAUUAUUGGUUUGACCUGUUCAACCAUUGAUCCUAUUAUUAAAAUACUAAAUGUGAAUUCUAUGACAUAACAAUGUAGAAUGCAAUCCAUAAACAUUACAUCUAUGUUAUUGUGCUUUGAUUGAGAUAAUGCUGCUGAUUUUGCAUAUCUUCAACUUCAAGUAAAGAAAAAUUAUUAUUUAAUAUUUUAAUAGUGGUUUUUUAAAUUUUACAAGUGAAAUUUAAAAAAAAUUUAUCAUGCCUUUUAUUUAUUUUUUAGUUUUUAAAAUAUUAUUUUAGAAUAAAUAAUAAUUUGGCAAAUAAUUAAAUCCAAGUGGAAGCCAAAAAUUGGAAAGGCUGUAUCACAUUAUUUUCAGGAACCACAGGGAAAAAGAAAAUUCAAAGUUGAAACAGUGCAUUCCACGUGGGGUUUCUCCAUCAAUCAAUGACUCGCUAUUGCUUUUACUUUGGGAUAAACUAACUUUUAAUCUUUGAAUUUGAUUUUUUUAAAAUUUAGUCCUUAACUUUUUUGGUUUACUUUAGUUUUAGAAUUUGAUAAUUUUUUUUAGUUUUAGGUAAUGUGAUGACAUGAUAAUAUGAUAUUGUACUAUGUUAUCACUUAAAAAAUAUAUUUUUCUUUUCGUUUUAGGAAUUUUUAUAUGUUUUUGUAGCAUUUUUUUUAGUCUUGUUUAUACAAGUAACCUUAGUUUUACAAGUGAUUUUAUGGAUGUUUUGUUGUCGUCCUCUCUAGUUUGGUGAAUGCUCCAAUCCUUUUUCGAUUUUUACCCGCCGCUUUAGAUCAUCCGUGGUUGAUUUCUUUAUCGCAUUAAGUGUUUGCAAUCACUCUAUAUAUGUCGCGCUUGAAUUGUGAUAAAGCCAAUUGUCAACAGGUCGAGUCAUGACACUGAGGCUAAAGUCUUUGUUGUGUUAUUUGAGCUUAUCUUUCACUAUUUACGAUAAGUGUUUGUAAUUUUUUUCUCUAAAUUAUAUGAUUCCCUUUAUUAAUUAAUAAAUUUACCUUUAAAUAUAUAUUUCUAUAAAAAUUAGAUAAUAACAUCACACCAUUUUAGAAUACAAAAUCAGGGAUCAAAUUUGUGAAAUUCUAGUAUUAAUGUAGACAAAAAAAAUCAGAGACUAGGUUGAGAUAUUAUUUAAUUUGCAGGCAGGUAAUUUGUGGGAGUCAAAGUAGAAACAGUGAGUAUUCCGCUUGAGUGAUCAAUGACGAUUUGGAUUAGUUCUUAGAGUUCAAGCUUGUGUAAAAAUAAUGCUUUAAUCAUGUUUUUAGAAUUAAAUCGAUAGUUGACUAGGUUAAAUUAUCGGUUCAUUUAAUAUGUUCGGAUUUUCGAUUCAUUAUCACUUUUUACAAAAGAAAAGUCAAAAUGGAAACAGUGAGUAUUCCGCGUGAGUGAUCAAUGAUGCGCUUUUCCUACUGCUUUUGCUUUUCCUGAGUGAUCAUCUUGCUGCUUUCACUGACUUUCCUACCAUAUUUCUCUUCUGCUGUACCCAAACUCUGUUCAAUCUCACUUUCUUUCAUGGCUUCUUCUGUUUUUGAUACCGACACCGCCUUGAGAUUAUUUGGUAGAAAAUUCUUUUCGGAAAAACCAAGACUAGAGAAACCGAAUGAUACAAAAGUAUUUCCGACUAUAUCUAUUUAAGGGUUAAAAAACCUUGUUAUAAUCAAAAUCAAAUAGAAAAAGGAUAAUUCUAUACGAAUUUAACUUGUGUGGUAUGUCCAUAUUGCGAGGACUCAACCCUCGGUCCUUCACCUUCUCAAUCCUCGAGGAUUCGGAUCAAACAAGUCUCGGAAUCUACAUCUAUAUAAUUGAAAGACUUGCCUAAAAAAUGAACUGAGAGUUAGGCAACUAAUUAAUUUGAUAUUGAGAGAAUACGUUUAGAAGAGUGUUAUUUUUUAAGUAAACCCUAUUGUUGUGGUUUUAUUUUUUAUGAUCACAAGGAGUGUUUCCGGUGGUGAGAAUAUUGUAUUUUCAAAGUGCAAGGGUGAGGGAAACAAUCGCGAUCUGUGUGAUUGAGUAAGUUCAUUUUGUAAUUAUUGAAGAGAAUGCAUAUUUCUCACUGACCUAGGGGCUCUGCAGAUGUAGGGAAAUUAAACUGUAUAAUUAUCUUUUUUCCGCUUUCUCAUUUAGUGCAUAGAGAAAUGCCUACAAACUUAAACAUCAAUUUCUUUGUGUAGUUAUUGCUCUUAGCAACAUCCUUUUUGCUAACAAUUUUUUUUUUAGAAUUUGAACUAAAAUAACAAAUUCCAUAAACAUGGAGGACUAAAUUUAUUGUAUUUUUUAGUUUAAGAUCAAAUCGAUAAAAUAUGUAAACAUUAGAGUUAAAUUUAUUAUUAGAUCAAUAAAUAAAAAGCCCACGUCAGCACUUCCUUCAAAUUUCAAACAAUUGUUAACAUUUGGUGACCAAAAAAAUUUAUUUUAAAUAGUUUAGUGACCAAAAUAGAACGCGAGCACUACUUUAGUGACCAUUUUUAUACUUUACCCUAAAAUAUAUAAUAAAACUCUAAACUAAAGUAUUCAAAUUAUCAAGUCUAUUUACAAUCUAUACUAAUCUAAACUAAUAUUAAGUAUUUGAUAGAAUUGUUGUCACUCAUUAAUCGAGUCUCAACUCAGUUGUGAAAUUACCAAAAGUCCCUUAUUUUUAUAAAGUAAUAAAUACUAAAUUAAAAUAUGAUACAAAUUCUUGUACUCUUUGUAUAUUUGAAAUAAAAAAAAAUUGAAGUUUUAAUGGACCUAAAUUUAAUAAAAUAAAUUUAAUAAAAUAAUUCUAGUAGUGUUCACAAUUAAACCUAAAUUUUGAAAUCUAAAAGGUAAAAAGUCCAAAUUCCUUACGAUAAAAUAGAGGGACUAAAUUCUAAAUAAAUUCUAAAUAUAAAAAGAGUACGACUUAGAGUAUAUUUUAACCUAAAUAUUAUAUUAAGGGUGUUUUUAUUCUUUUUAUAUUUUUAUAUAUAUACUAAAUAAUACAUGCAAUUAAUAGGAUUUGAAUUUUUUAAAUGUCAUGAUUACAAUAUGUUGACUUUACCAUUUCUAUCAUAACCUCAUUUAAUUCUUAUAUUUUUUUAAUAAAUUUAUUAUAUAAUAAUUCUACUCAUAUCGUGAGUGUACUAUAAUUUAGUUUAUUAAAAAAAUACUAAUAAAUUAGUGACUUAAAUAAAAAAACUUUUAAAUAGUUUAAUAACCAUUUUGUAACUUUUUAAAAUUGGCUAACCAAAAAAUAAAGUUACUAAUAGUUCAAUGACCUUGGGUAUAAUUUACCCUUAAAAUUUUUAAAAAGAAAAAAAAUUCUAAUGGAAUUGGAGCUGAGUAUGGAUGAUUAUUUGAGCUAAAAUAAUAUCAAAGUAGGGAGUAAAUUGAAUAUAAUAGAGAAUUUCAUGACUUGCUUGAUAUAUGCAAUUGGUCUGAAAUUUAGUUGGAACAUGUUGAAUUACAUAUUAAAUUGAUUAUUGUUUUUUGAAAUUAGCAUGUUAAAGCAUAAAUUGAAUGGCAUAAUGAAUUGGAAUUUGGUUACCCUAUUAGCUGUUCAGACUAUGUCGGACAUAGUUGGCAUGCCAUAAGGAUAGAGUAUUGAGUAAAGCCACCAUUUUCGGGCAACCCGGGGUGACAAAUUAAUUGAGUUGAGAAAACCAUUAUUGUUGAGCAAUCAGGGGUGAUAUUAUAUUUUGAUAUAGUGUCGUCGUUGUCAGGCAACCUGAGGUGACAGAUCCUUAUAUCCGUACCGAGUCUGUGUUUAGCUAAUAGGGUUAAUAAUAAAAGAAUUGAUUAAAUGAUAAUGAAAUGGAAUGUUGUUGCAAAAUGAAUGUUAUAUGAGAAAAUAGUAUAAAGAAUCAUUAUGUUAAAAUGAAUAUGAGCUUAGACAUAUAAAAUGAAUAUAAAUUUUCAUGAGUUUGACUAUGAUUUGAAUGUAUAGCAUUGCAUGAAUUUAUUUAUAUUGAUUUGAACUGUAGAAUUACCAUUGAGAAAUUUGCUUAGCGUACAAUUUGUUUUUCCGUAUGCAAGUUAAAUUCAGUUCAAGAUUCUUAAGCAUAAACUUUAGCAUCCAAAUGGUUAAUAUCUUAGUUGAAAUGGUAUAAUAAUGUUAGAUAUGCUAAUGAUCUUAUUGAUAUUGGUGUGAAAUUGAAUUGCAUUAGGGAUUUGUUUUAUUGGAAUGGAACAUUUGCAAAUUGAGAGUAGAGUCUAUACAUAUAUAAUUAUGUCUUGAAAUGAUGUUAAGGUAAUACAUACGAUAGUUGAAUGUCAUUUGGAUAUAUGGAUAGUUUUGGACCGGAAGUAUUUGAUGGUUAGAACGUGAUAUUAUGUGAUUAGAAAGUGUUAUGACUUAAUAUGGAACUCACUAGGAUUGUCCAUUUGGCUAAAAAUAAGGUAGAAGUUGGUUACGCAUUGGUGUAUUUAAAACUAUAGGUUUUGAGAAACUAUAAUUGCAAAAAUCGUAUGUGACGUCAUGACGUCAACCAUUUCUCGUCGUGACGAGGGUUGGACUCCAAGCUACAAUGUGACUAUGAACCCCGUCAUCCCGACGAGGCCAAGUUAGUAUGUCACAUUGCGACAAGAAACUAUCUCACGUCGUGACAUCAACUCUAUAAUUUGAAUUCUUUACAAUUCAGUACUGGUUUGAUCUCGGAUUAGCUUAUGAAUUUUUGUAAGCUUGUAUAAUACCCGGACAUGUUUAUUUAUCAUGUUGUUUACUUAUAAUGUUCAUAUUGAAUGUUAAAAUGGAUUGAAAUUGUGUCUAUUUUUAUCGUAUUUGCUUUGGCAACGAAUGAGAUACACUAUAGUUCGAACUCGGUGAUCGGGUCAAGUAUAGAGUGUUACACCUACAUAACUUUGCCUCGUUAUGUAAAAAUGCGAUACUCUUAGUCACGUCAUGUUAUCACCUAAAAUUUUUUUUACAGAAAAAUAUAAUUUUUAAAUGAUUAUAUAAUAUAAUAUUAAAGUACUACAACAUCACAUAGAUCUAAACUGAAAAAAUUUACCAAAUUUCAAAACUAAUGUGAAGAAAGAAAUGAAUGAUUAAAUAAAAAAAAAGAUAAACUUUUAUCCAAAAACAAAAGCAACAGCAAUUUCAACUUUGGAAUUUUUUUCUUCCCUAUGGCCCCAAGAAAUUAGGUGAUAGCGCCUGUUUUUUACUUCCACUUUGAUUAAUUAUUUGCCAAAUUAAUGAGGUAUGUGUUUUAAUUUCACAAGAUUAAACAUUAUCAUUUUUUGUAAAACAUUAUUUUAAAAUUUUAAAAAUAAAUGUUUUAAUUUCACUUAUAAAAUUAAAAACAAAACACCUUUAAUAUCUAUAUUAUAUAUAAAGAUUUUAAUUAAAUUUAUGUCACUUAUAAUUGAUUCUCAAUUAAAUUAUUAAAAUAUCAAUAUAUUUUUAUUUUAAUAAAAUAUAAAUAGUAAUUGAAGGUUAUUUUUAUCCUUUGAACAUAAUAAAAUUUGAAAUCAACCCAUCAAAUCAAUUCAGCCAAUAUAGUAGGUGUGUCAUGAGUCAUAUUUUAAUGUUAAAUAAUAAGUUAGUUUUUAAAGAAAAAAAAAAGACUAGGCUCGUGGCACGACUUCUAUUACGUUUCUCUUUUCUGCAAAAAGAUUCUCCCACUUUCGAUAUUCUAUUUUAUAAAUAUAACGAUGGUAGGAUAUUAAAGUCAUUUUUUUAUUAAAAAAAAGUUUUUUUUAAGCUUUUUAUUUUUGUUGUUUAGGCUUUAUUCUAUCAUUAUAAUUCACUAAAAAAAUUUUUAUUACUAUAAGCUGCUUCACCAGCCACAAUCGUCUCCACCAAAAGACCUCUCUAGAUACACUUUUUAAGAACCAUGCACCAUAUUUCAAGCCCCUCAUCUCAAUCACUAACAGCUCUCCACUCUAUAAGAGUGAACCGCUCCAAACCUCCACCAUCUUCUCUAUUUUGUUGAAAUUUUAUAUCAAUAAUUGAUCAAAAUUACUUGCGUUCACAUGAUAAAAUUUGAUCUAAAACAGGUUAGUCUCUUCUAUUCAACAUACCUACUCACUAUUUUCACCCCUUUAAAUGCAAAGCUUGAUGACUUUGUACCUGUGUUGGGUUGGUCUCUUGCCAAGCAGUGAACGCCACUAUAUUUCGAGCUAUUAUUAAUAUAUACGUAUGCGUAAAAAGGACCCUUCUCCAUAUUCGAGAGCUCUGCAUAUGAGAGUGCUCCAUCAUGUGUUAGUGUGGCUUUAUUGCUUGAAAACUCAUUGCUCCCAUGGAAGUAAAUUUCUUUUAAUUGGAUUGCCUUGAAGUUCAUAUUUUGCUGUGUGAGUUUCAAAACAACACAUUCUGGACACUAUAUUUAGAGUAUUUGAGCACACCACAUACAAAUAUCUUUAUCUGUUCACAUAUAAAAACUACAUGAUAUUAUCGAUACAUAAUAAAAACAAAAGUGCACACACACAUUGGCUUCCAUAAAAGCAGCACGGUCUUAUUUAGUUUCCUACGUACACACCCUGCCUGACUCAGAUCCUGUCGUGCCUUCCCAGUAGCAGUAGUUGCUCAAAUGGAAGAGCUGAGUGAUUCUUCUGCGGUUUGAAAGUUGAGACUGUAGUAAUUAGAACCAGUGUAAGUGCCGCCUUGCACUUCAGAUAUGACAAUGUUGCCAUUAUAAAGAGAGUCCUUUUGCAUGUACGUGAACGGAACAUCACAUGUACCAUUUAUUGCAGUCAGAUUCACUGUCACCUUAGUCAUCGGAGGCAAAACAACCUUGUAUAGAACAUCUAUCACAGAGGUCACUGUCUUGGUAUCUUCCCACUCAAAUCCUGUCUGAAUUUCGCCAGAUAACUCGAUGCGCCCCUUAAUAAUUUUUGGAUAUUGUUCGAAGUUCAUGGUAGCUUUUGCCCCUACCUUUAGUGAUACAUUAGCCUUCCAAGUACGAAUGUGGGUGUCUGUGUAAGAAAGUUUCAGGUCUAAAGAUUCGGAUUUCUGGGUAUAGUUACUAGCAGAAUUGAUCGCAAUCACAAGUUUGCUUUCGUCGUAGAUCCUGCAAUUAUCAAGAUCAUACUUGAUAUUAUAAAUUUUCCUUUCCAAAACAGGCACUUCCACUCGAAGCUGGACGUCCUUUGUAAUAGAGGAGACAUUUGCGUUAAGGCAAUUAGUCUUCCCCUCCUUACUGAGGCUCUUGCAGAAGUUAUUGUUGCCCAAAUUGCGAAGAGCUAUUGUCUGGUCGUUAACUUUGAAGGGUCGAAACAAGGUGUCCUUGAUGUUGCUGGUAGUGUCAUCAGAAUCCGCCCAAAUCCAAUUCAGACUCCGCCGCCAAAACUUAUUGGAACAAGCAGGCUUGAUGCGAAUGCUUCCAUCAUUAUUCAUGAAAACCUCCAUGGUCACACCCGCAUCACCAAU